GGCGGAACCUCCAAGCUUUAUUGAGAGACCUCACUUAUGGCGGAGGAAAACCGUGGUAACAACUAGACACUUACACAAAGAAAAACAAAACAAUAUCCCAAGUAUCAAAACAAACAAAAGACAAUAAAGCAAACACAAAAGAACAAACUAAACAAGUCUUAAUAUAAACAAUACCCAUUUUAUCUAACCUAAUCAAACUUUUUAUAAGCCUAGGGAGAUGUUCCACAUUGGUAAAUAAGAAGCUGGUUUAACUAGCACAACUACGAGCCAAAGCAUCAGCCUCCUUUUGGCUCUAAAAAUAUGAUGAAUAGAAUAAUCCUUAACAUCCAAUAACCCCUUAAGUGGUCCCUAGAAGUCCCAAAGAUACCAAAGCUUGCAAGAACGAGACCGAAUCCAGCUAACAACAAUAUUAGAAUCACAUUCAAUGCCAAUACCAUCAUAACCCAAUUGCUUACACACAAGUAAGCCUUCAAGAAUAGCGCAUAAACUCAGCUUCAUUAUUUGAGCAACUGCCAAAAAAAUUGAAAAGCCAAAAAUGAAGUUGCUUGAACCAUGACGAAGUAAACCACCUCCACCAGCAUUUCCACGAUUUCCAAGACUACUCCCAUCAAAAUUAAGCUUAAAUCUUCCAUGCACCGGUUUAAGCCAUCUUGCCUGACGUUGCCCUCGCUGCAUCAGAUAACAAUAAGAUAAGCUGAUAAGUAGUAGUAGAAAGAAGACAGUGAAGUGUAAAAAUUUCCCUUUAUUUUCCACCAAUUUUAGGGUCACUACACUAAAUGGUACUAAAAGAUAUCAAAUAGAGGCAGGCAUUCGAUAAACCUUGUUUGAAAGGAAAGAAGGUACUCUUAAGCAUGGAAGGAAAAAGAAAAAGAACAAUAUGGUAUUUAAAGAGCACAAAAACAUAUACUUGCUGUUACACGUAAAUAAAUAAAAGCUACCAUUUUCCCAAAAUCUGUAGUAGGAUACAAUACAUGUAUGAUGUAUCAAACAACUAAGAGAUGAGAAAACGAUCCUUCUAAUACCACUAGAUUACCUCAUGGAAGGACGUAGCUCAAUCUCAAUCAAAUUAUACAAUUACUUGCUGGAGACAUAAACGCUAUAACCUCACUUUUUAGAGCAGCAGUUUUUGACUUUUUGUACCUCGUUGUGCUUAACAACAUCAGAAACACAUCGCUUGUAGUGGUCUUAAAAAUUCCAAUGUGUAAACUAUAUUGACAAAAUUGGAAAAACAUUGUAUCCACUGAAUGGCCUCCCAAGUAAAUAAUCAGCUAUUGACAAUAUUUCAUGUCAACUAAAUCAAAAUUUCAAAUCAGCUCCUGUUCAAAGUUGAUCUCAGAUCCCUCGGCAGGACCAGCUAGCUUCACCAAGCCAAUUAACCUUAACAUAGCUGAAAAUAGAAAACCAGAUACCAAGAAUCACAAAUUCCAUUCUGCGCUCAAUGAGUCCAACAAUAUUAUAUUGAACUAAUAGCACCCAAUUACACUUUCGGAAUGAACAAACUACCUAUGAUGAAGAAACAACCACAGGUUGUUGCUGAUAUACUGAGAUAUUAAAAAUAAAAUUCCACAUAUGACUAUGCUCAUUUUCCAGAGACGUAGCUUUAUAUUGAACUAUUUAUAAUGAUGUUGCAUACCGGAUACAUGUAUUUCAUUUCUUCUUCUGAUCUUAAGGAUGAAAAACAACACUCUUAGCUUAAAUUUGAUCAAAGAUUGUUUCCCACACGUGUGUGUAUUGCUUUUGAAAAUUGCUCACUUUUUGCAGAUUUGGUAACAUAAAUAUUGCAUCAAUUUCCGUUGAGAAGCCUCUCGAGUAAAUAAUCAGUUACUGAGAAUGUUUCAUGUCAUGUAAACCAAAAUUUCCCUUCAGAUCUUGUUCAAAGUUGAUUGCAAAUUCAUGGGUACAUGUAUCUUCUCCAGGCAAUAUAACCAUAACAGGUCUGAAAAAUAGAAACCAGAUAUCAAGAAUCAUAAAUUCCAUUAUGACCUCAAUAAGCUGAACAUUAGUACAUUGAACUAACUACAGCCAAUUGCAAUUUCUGAAUUUAUGUAAUAUGAAGAAACAAGCACCUGGUAUACUGAGAAAUUUCAAAAUAAAAAUGCCACAAAUUAAUAAUGCUUGUGUUUCACACAGUUUGCUUUAUAUAGAAAUAUUUAAUUAUGACACAUAAGGAAUACCUGUGUUUUAUAUUUCUUCUUCCAAUCUUGAGAAUAGUAAGCAUUAAGCAACCUUUUGCCCUGUAUUUCCUUUGAAAAUCUGCUCAUUUCCUUGAGAUUCAGUAACAUAUAUACUAAAUCAGUUUCCAUAAAAUAUAUAAUUUUAUUCAGAAGGUCAUCAUAUACACAAGAAGUAUAAUAAAAAUUCAAGCAAGAAGUUUCAGUGCCAAUUGCCUAAAUAUUUGGCAUAAUGUGAUCCAUAUAGCCAGCCUCACUUAGUGGGGUAAGGCUUUUAUAAUCACCAAUCAAGCUACAAAUCAUGGAAUCAUUGAGUGCAAUGACAAAGUUAAACUGUAGAAAGAAAAAAAAUGUGAAAUGAAACAUGUGGUUGACUAAACUUUAUGAAUAAUUUUUCUUUUACAAUGGUAAAGAAAAGUGUGCGCGAAAAUAGCUUUCGUUGUAGAGGAGAUAAUGAAGAAAAGUGGGUUAGUGCAGAACAAAUUACGUGUUGAUAAUCAGGGUGGGCCAAAUUUGAGGGUGCUUCACGCGGCACUGUUCUCCCAGCAAAGGGCAUUCAGAGAUGUCAAGUUCAGUUAGAGAUGUAGGAAGCUUUGCUUCCGCCAUGUUCUCCAGCUUUGGACAUUUCUCAAUUGUUAACUGUUUGAGGGAGGUGAGGUGGAGAAGCCCUUUGCAAUCCAACGUCUCCAGACUUGAGAAAUCAUAUAGUAAUAGUGACUUCAGGGAGGAAGGCAGCAACCCCUCUUUUGGGAUGGACUUUAUCCCAUCACAUGGACCGUAUAUCUGGAGGUAGGUAAGCUUGUCCAUGGAUGGCCAUGCUAGGCAGCUCAGCAGUUUCGUGCUAUUCCUGAUCACAAUUGUUGUCAAGCUAGGCGGCAAACCUUCUUCAGGAAACGACUUAAUUCUUGGACAGUAAGCUAUCGAAAGAAGUACCAAGUUUGGGAGAAGAGUAUUCAUCCGAGGAGGCAAUGACUCUACCUUGUCGCACCCGGAAACCCUGAAGCCAGUCAUUCUGGGCGCAGCCAAUCCUUCUCUUGCCAAUGAUACUAAAUUGGGGCAUUUGGAGAUAUGAAGAUCUCUCAGAUUUUGAAGAGUAAAAUCCCGUGAGUGUGACACUGAAAUAGAUUCCAGAUUUACACAGUCUGAGAUGUAUAGUUUUUUGAGAUUUGGAAAAGCCUCCAGUGGGAGAGACAUGAGCGAAUCACAGCUGCUCUGUAUUUGCAGUAUCUCUAGUAACUCGAGUGUCUGUUGCUGCUGCUGAGGGAAUUCUAGUUCUCUACAUCUCUCAAUUUCCAGAGUCAUCAGUGAUGCAGGUAAGCAAUCCCCCAGAAAUGACAUCAUAGACGAGCAAUCUUUCAAUGUCAAAUGUUUUAGGAGAGGAAAAUCUUGCAAUACUACUUUAUUGACAUCAUUUAUAACUAGUAGGCGCAUGGAGGGAGCCAUUGGGAGAGAACAAGUAAGUUGCUCGCACUUUUGAAUAUCAAGUUCUUCUAGAGCAGGGAGGUGACUCGGCAAAUCUCCCCUCAAUUUUGGACAAUGUUGUACUCUUAGACGCUUAAGCUGAGGAAAAGCAUGUGGCUCAAAACAACUCCACACCUCCCAACAAGGCAUCCUUAUAAAUUCAAGAGAUUCAAGUGAGGGAAAAGGUCUCCAACGUAUUAAAAUCUGAAAUUGCCAGGUCCUUGAGAGAUGGGAGGUGUCCAAGUGAAGGGAGAGUAAUACAAUUAUUGCAACCAGACAACCUUAUCCUAGUCAUAUUGUGGUAACAAGACAUUCCAAUCCAAUCAGGGUAUCUGGUACCUCCGUAGCCUUUUACCUCCAGGGACUCAAGGUCUUGGUGAGGCUCUAACUUGCAAAGUAUAUCAACUUCGGUUUGGGAAUCGAUACAACCCUUAUCGGAAGGCCAGUCCAGUACUAAAUGCUGAAUGUGCUUCUUAUCCAUCAUCCUUGCCUCCAACGCUUCACUACCAUUCUCAACAUUCUCCAAUUGGUAAAUUGUAAACUGCCCACCAAGAUUUGAAAGCCCUCCCAGCUCAUUGAUCUUGAUCUUUUCAUGCUUGCCCACAAUGAAGUAAGGCAAAUGUCGCAACUGCUUUAAUUUGCUCAUUUCUUUGGGCAUCUCCUUUAUACAUGUUCUAGAAAUACCAAGAUAGUGCAAGUUUACAAGUUUUUGCAUGCCACAAGGUAGCAUAGUAAGCGCACCACAAUCCUCUAGCUUCAACGUUUGCAGAUUAUACAAAUUACACAAUGACUCUGGUAAUGACUCUAUUUCUGCCCCGGAGAGAUCCAAAUAACGCAAAUGGAUCAUUCCACCUAUAGAAUCAGGCAAUGCAAAGAGAUUUCCAAAGGAACGAAAUGAUAAAACUCUCAAGUACUCAAAACUCAACACCUCAGUACAUAGUACCUCGUCAUUCUCGGAUACAGAUUUUUUAUCGUUAAUCCUAAAAAAUGUUCUUAGGAAUUUAGCAUUACCUAAGACCCCAAAGUUUUCUGAGUUGGGACUACUGAAAUUGUCGAAUGACAAAUGACGAGUUUUGCUACCAAUAGUAUUUUCAUCCCCAAGAUCAUCUGAUCUAAAGUAGAAUUCCCCGCCAAGAAAUGUUGCCAAAUCAUGCAUGAGAUCAUGCAUCCCAAAAUACUCCUCCUUCCCCUUCCCCGGAGUACUUGAGCGUUGAAAAAAUGAGCUUGAAACUAAAUAAUCAAAAAAAACAUCACCAACUUCUUCUAGAGUCUUGCCCUUUUUCGGUGGUGGUAAAAGAUCUUCAGCCAUCCACAACUGGAUCACAUCACUUUUCAUAAAUUCAUAAUCUUUUGGGUAUAAUGAACAGUAAACAAAGCAGCGUUUCAAGUAAGGAGGGAGAUAAUGAUAGCUAAUUCUCAAUGAUGGAAUAAUCUUACUUUCAGAUAAUUCCCAAAUGUCACAAUUCAGCACAUUAUUCCAAUCCUUAAUAUCACGCUUUCUUCCCAAUAAACCUCCAAGUGAUUGUGCAGCUAAAGGCAAUCCCUUACACUUCUUAACAAUCUCCAAGCCAAUUUUCUCUAGAUCUGUUGUAUUCUCACCUGAUCCUGGGGAAAGACAAGCAUGGUUUGCAAAUACUAACCAACAACAUUCAUUUGAUAGUUGGCUUAAAUUGUAAGUUUGAACAGUUUGGACUACAGAUGCAACCUUUUCACUACGGGUUGUUACAAGAAUUUUACUUCCCCUCAUCCCAUAUCGCAAAGGUUUUCUAAGAAGAUUCCAACUAUCAUAAUCUUCGAUCCAAACAUCAUCCAAAAUAAUUAAGAAUUUUUUUUCCUUCAGCUUUUCAACCAAUUUUUCUUGAAGUGAGUUUAGAUCAUUGAUUUGACAAGCUUGUUGAGUAAGUGCCUCUGUUAAAGUUUUUGUAACUCCCAUGAUAUCAAAUGCUUCAGAAACACAAACCCAUCCUUUUAAAUCAAAAUUUUGCUUCAAACUGUCAUCACUGUAUAUCAUUUGGGCUAGAGUGGUCUUUCCGACACCACCCAUGCCCACAAUAGAGAUCACAGAUACAUCUUCACCUUCAUUAUUAUCAUCUAACAAUAACUUGAUUAUAGCCUCCUUGUCUUCAUCCCUCCCAUAUAUAUUUCUAUCUGGCACAGAUGUUGAGGGAACUCUGGAUGAGGAAUUAUCCAUUGCAAUCUCUUUGAGAUCAAGACUCUCUUUUAGUUUUAAGAUAUGCUCUAGCUUGUCAACUAUUUCUUCCAACCUAGUAGCUAUCUUCCUCCGAUCUUGUGUAUUGAAAGGGCGAUAUCUUGAAGCCAUCUUCUGAUGUUGUGAAUUGAAAAGGCGAGAGAACAAGUUAGGAGUUACCUUUUUUAGAGUUGCAGCUGCAGCAGCAGCAGCAGCAGCUUUGGUACAAACAUGAUCCAUCAAGUCAUCAGCCAUGUAGACAACAUGUUUGAGUUCAUCGAGCCAGUCUUUGACAUCAGAGUCACUGAUCUGUUUCUUCUCAGCAUCAUUGAGCACAGCUUUGACCACUGUGAGAGUUGUCUUCAUCCUGUCAAGUAAAGGGCCAAGCUUCUUGCCUCGGAUGAAGUUGACAACCUCAGGUGAAGCAAGCUUGUCGAAAACAACAUUAAGGAAUGCACCGAGGAAAGCUCCUCCCACCAAUAUUGCUGCCAUGAUCACAAGAACAAGUGACUAGAUUACAAUUCAGACAAGAGUCAACAAAAGGAACAGAGUUGCUUGCACCUUGCAGUAUGUACUCUGAACUCACAAGUCAUGUGUUUAAUAUGUGCUCUAUUUUUAUUAUACUAGUGUUUUUUACUCGCGCGUUGCACGGGAAAUUUGUCUACACAUAGUUUGCGAGACAAGUUGGGUGGUUACAGUUCUCUUUUUCCCCAGAAGAUGAUGCUUCCUUCCCAUUUCUUCAUUUUCAUUUUCAUAAUUGAAUGCUUCUUGGUCCCACAUGGCACUAUGAGGCAUUAUUUAGACUACUUUAUAUCUACAUAUUUUGAUUUUGACUUUUGCAGUUCUCAAAGUAAAUUGAAACAUAUGCAACUUUGAUCUAUUAAAUUUAAGGUUAAAUUAAUUUAUGGAUCCCUAUGCUUUCAUGUACUUUUAAAUUAGAUCCCUAUAUUCUAUAACUUUCUAAAAUGAGUGUUUAAAACAGUUUUAUAGAAACAAUUUUUAAAAUAUAUUUUUCAAAGGAAAGUUGAGGAAGCUCAUGAGUCAUGAACUGAAGGGAGAAAAGAAACUGACCAGUGGAGACGAUCUUGCACUGUGAAAUCGUCGAGGAAAAGAAGCACCAAACCAACAAAAACGACGCCGUGCAAGAUCGGAGGAAGGGGUUUGGUUCGGAAUGCAGAAACAAGACUUGCCUGGUCAUAGAAAACAGGGUUUGGUUUGCCAUAUGGUCAUAUGGUCAAACAAACCCAAAUUCCUUUGAUAAUUAAAAAAUGUAACUAAUUAACAACUUAAAAAAUAUGAUAAAAUAUUAUAAAUAUUUUUUAUAUUUUUUGUGAGCACGAGGUAUCCACUAUCUCGAUAGCAAUAAUUAAUCAUUUCGUCCCAGUGAGAAACAACUGGCUACAAUAUGCGAUGCGCUGUAUUCUAAAGUGGAAGAGACAUUCACUUAAGAUUUUUUUCCUCACUAUAUCUCAAUCUCUUACAAAUGGACAUGAGCCUCCAAAUUCGAUCAUCAUCAUAUGUAUGAUCAAUCUGAAAUGGAUAUCAUGUGUACUUUCAGGCAGCAGGAGAAUUGAAGUCAUAAAGAAAUUUCACUAAAGAGCUGACUUUGUUGUUGGCAAUAUGGUAUGCUUGUCAACUAGUAAUAUUUAUCUUCUUUCUUUAGCUAGGCAAGGAUUUGAGAUCUUUUCCAUUUUAUUUAUCCCUUUUCAGGCUCAGGGUUCAAAAGGUUAUUACUAAUUAGGAUUAAAAUAACUCUGUUUGCUGCAUGGACAUUUGUGAUAGUGCUGGAAAUGAUGCUCUGCUGAACUUAAUCAUAGUAUGUUUCCUACUCCCACUGUUUCUCUAAAACCACCUUUCGCUGUUAGCGCUUGACCUAUUGCUGAACUCUUCUAGUGCCGUCCUGAAAAUGCCUUUCAGGUUCACACACUCUUGAGCCAUCUGCAUUUCUUUUUAAUUAUUUUUUAUUGUCAGUUCUAAUAACUAUAAGAGCUUUUAUUGUAAUAUUAAUGUGAUCAGAUAUUGAUCAAUUUCAUCUCUCAAUAGGUGGCUUUGGCUGGACCAUCAUUUACACUAUUCAUUGCAAGUUGGAUCAAUUUCAUCUUCAAAAUAUCUAAGAAAAAAGGUUAAAUGUAAGUUGUAUUUAUUGCACCAUUAUCAUUGCUAUGGAUAUGUAUUGGAAAUGUACUGUAAAUGUAUUUAUCAGAAUUUAAUUACUGAAUAACCCCUACUAAUUUAGUUAAUAGCUUAGUACUCCUUUUAAAAAUAUAUAUAUACCCAAUCCCCUUUCACGUUCAUCCAUCGCUGGCAGCAACAGGAAUGCAAAUCGACGUGGUGCGGUGGUGGAUCUCGGCAAGCCGCUUCUCCAACCAGUAUGCCAAAGCUGAUUGUGCCUUUGUUGAGUGUUGUAGUGCAUAAUUUCAUUUCGUAUACUCUAUGUUUAUGUGGAAAUUUCUCUUGCAACCAUUUAAAAGUGGGAGGUUUCAUACGUUUUAGGCUUAAUUUGCCAUAAUUUAGUCCUUAGAAUUCUAAAUAAUGAGCUGAAGGGUUCAAACCAAACCCUUCCAUUUUGAAUGAGUACCGGAACAAGACCCUAUUUAUUUUAUAAAAUUUUCAAAAAGAAAUUACUUUUGAUUUAUUUUUGGACGUCUAAUAUUGUUCGACGAGGGUCCAUAAUAUGCUCAUUUAUAUGAUUUGGGUCAUUGAUAUUCUAAAUGAGUGAAUUUGGUUACGUAAGUAAAUUGAGUCCUUCCGUCUGAGUUUCGUCCAAUUAUUUAUUAUGUCCCUCUAAGAUAGCUCAAGUGGUAGGAGUCGUAGGACAUAUGAGUUGGGUAGGGGGAGGUCAAGGGAUCGAUUUCUAACCGUUGUAAUUUAUCUUUCCGAUAUACCUAGGGGGAAGAUAAUUUACCGCUUAAUUAAUACAGAUUUAGCUACUAUUAGGCGUGUUAGCCGCGAAGAUCUCAUUAUGUAAAUUUGUGUCUCACAACGAAAGCAUUCCCUCUCUAACCUCCAUCACUAACCCCAUCUCUUAGUCAAAGGUUUUGUGACAGAUUGAUUCUCCGUCGCAAAAAACCAGUUUCACCUCCAAAACGAAAAGCUCACACCCUUAUAGGCAAAUAGGUUUCGUUUGUACCAAUUGAAUGGACAAUGGAAACCAGAAGCAACGAUUGUGAGAAUGGCAAUGCGUGUUCUUCUUCUGCAGUGAAACUCAGUGAUUGUAUUGAAGAGCUUGUCAAGUUCACUCUCUUCUCUCGCUCUCACCUCAACCUUCUCAAUCUCUCAACUCAAUUUUGUUCUACCCUUCUCAAAGAUGACCCUGAACCCUCACCCUCUUCACAUUCACACCCUCAAGGUACUUAAUCCUAUUUCUGCUAUUUUUAUCCUUGUGUGUGUUGUUUUGAGUUGAAAAAAUGUUUUUUUUUUACUUGGGUGUGUUCAAAUAAGCCAAUGUGCUCACUGCUCAGCUCAAAACAAGUGAAACAAUCAAUUUUCAUUAUAAAGUUUGAAUUUUUCUAUCUGGGGUUGGUUUAGAAUUUAGAUCCUAUGGCAAUACAAUGUAGAAGCAUAGUUUGACUGAUUUGCAGAUGGUUUGCAAGGAGUGCCGUCGUAUCCGUUGUACAAGCGUCUUGCUUUAGCUUUGUUGAGGUGUAUUGAUACUGGAACAUUUUGGAGUCCAGGCUAUAAUGUAGCCAUGGCUCAUGAAUUGGAGAGUUGUUCUCUGCAGCAGAAGUAUAAUGAGUGGCACAAAUUGAUUGUAGAGAAGGGGUCUGAAAUAGUUAAUGUAAAGUGUUAUGUUGACUGAUUCAAUUGUUUGCUUCUCUUUAUCUAUGAUUAAUCUGGUUUCAAUAUAAAUGAUAUAUUUUUUGUUUCGACAGAUUUUGAAGAGUGUUCGGUUGGAACUCCAUGUUCAAGAGCCUUUUCUUACACAUUUGAAAGGUAUUAAUCACUCUGUUGUGCAUCCGAAUAUGAUGAAGUUCGAUGUAGUGAGUCAAGCUAUAAAAUAUGCAUAUUUGAAUAAGCAGUGAUGCUGGGUUGAAAAGUUAUCUACUGACUCUAAGCAGUGUUUAAUUCAAAAGAGGGGAAGGGGAGGAGGAUUUAAUUAUAUAUUUUGUUUGACUACUGAUUAUUCAAUAGUUAAUCAAAUCAUAUGUAUGGAUCAUUGGCAUUUUGAGAUACUAACUAUUUUCCACGAUACUUCGAAUAUAUUGGCAAAAAACUGAAAAAGUGAAGAAAUAGAUUCAUUAUUCCAUUUCUAUUCCGACCAAUUCAAGACAGAUUGCAGUAGCAUUCAAGGGAUUUAUGUAAAUACUCAGAAUAGAAUGAUGUGAUAUUUAGGUUCCUUCAAUUCCCCUCCAAUCAAACACUAUAUAAAAGAGAGAAAAAAACUGCAUGCAAGUACCAUUGUUGUUGUCUUUGUACUGGGCAUUCUCAUUCCUAGUCAAAUUCAAUUCUACUAUGCUAUGUCUUAUGAAGUUAUUGCCUGCAGAUGGCCUGAAAACAAUUGAAGGGAGGUGUGCCCGUGGUAAACACAACAGGUUUCAAUAUAAUUUUAGUUAUUGUUUCAAAUACAUGGCUAGAUAUAAAUACCUGUUAUUUUAUCUUAAUUUUCUUGAUCAUUAUAAUAGGGUACCAUACUUAUUUUAGUUUUAAGAUAACCCUUUCAACAUUUGUUUUUUUUUUAUUGAUAAGCAUUUUCAUAUGUAGUUAAUGGUAGACCACCAAAUUCAGUGUUGUUUGUGAUAUGCAUAUUUCCAAUUCUGAGUCCUCUUCAAUUAAAGGAAAUAUAAAAGUAACUUCAGUAAUCGAUUGGAGGAAAACUCAACCAACUGAACAAACAAUUGCCUUAUUUGUUAAAAGUUUGAGACCUUCCAUGUCAAGAACAAAAUUCCAAUGGGCUUGUAGCUCAAUGGGCAUGAGCUGAAGUCUCAUGUUCUAGGUUCUGAUGAUGCGAGAGGUUUGAUGCUUGCCCUUCCAUUAUAACCCAAAAAUAAAAUGCCUUUGUCCCUUAUCUAAGGAGCCAAAUUAUGUGAUAUGAAGAAUUUCAUCAAAAUAAGCUGUAUAACAGAAGCCAUCAAUGCAUAGUUGCAUCCUACAAACUAUUUUGUCGGUCACCUGAUCCAUCUUACCAGCUCUAUAUGGACGUUAGUUGGCUAUUGAUUUACUAUGGGCUAUAUUAGAAUUCGAGUUAGGUCUAACUUUACCCGAAAAGCUAGCUUAGAGGUGAGGGGUGUUGUGCCUCUACCCUUUAUAAGGACUUAUUUAUCUUAAGUCAAUGUUAACCUUAACACACCCUCACGCACAGAGCUGGAGAUCUAGAGCGUAGAAUUUGCAGGAAUGAACAUUUGCGGGUGGCCCAUAUAUAAGUGGUCUACAAUAAGCGGAUCUAGGAUAGAUUUUGAUACCAUAUCAAAAUUCAGUUAGGACUUAGGCCUAACUCCACCCCAAAAGCUAGCUUAGUGGUUAGGGUUGCUCUACCCUUUAUAAGGACUUAUUUGAAUAAGUUUCUAGUCAAUGUGGGACCUUAACCGGACACAUUUUGGUCAUUUACUUCUCUCAUUCAUUUAUCUUGUCUUGCUCUUUUUGUUUUCACUCUAAUUUGCUUUCCAGGAUUGAAGUAGGAAAUCUGAUUCUCUUCAAUGAGUCUCUGGUGUUUGAAGUUCAGGUAAUGCUUUAUUUCAUUAAUAAUUGGUGAUUCUGGCUAUUAUGGCUUUGCUACACUCUCUAAAGUAACUAUAUCAUUUUGUAGGGAGUAAGGAGGUAUGCUUCAUUCUUUGACAUGUUGGAGGCAGAAAGCCUUGAAAAAGUUCUUCCAGGAGUUGAAAGUGUUGAAGAAGGUAAUAAAUAUAGAGUAAGACAUAGAUUCAGCAUGUAUAACUAGACAAACAACCAGUUUGAGAGUUUAUCUAUUCAAAAUGAAGAAUCAAAAUGAUCACAUCUGGUUUACUUCAACUAUUUAUACUGAAUCUAAGCUCUGUUAGUAGCCAUACUCCUCUCGUAUGCAGGUUGUUGUGAGCCAAAUUGAAGUUGACAAACGAAACCACUAUGGUUGAGAGAAAAUGAGUGUUUAAUCCUCAUCUUAAAAAAAAUAUCAUCACAAACUAUCACAAAGCAUUCCGCAACAACAGCUAACACAAAUUACCAAACUUCUAGCUAAUUCCCAUAGAAUUAUGUUCCUAUAACUCUUCUUUCUACACAAAUUAGUAAAUUACUCUCUAAUUCACAACAAUUUUAGCUAAAUAUGACAUUUAUCAAUUACAGGUGUAAAGGUCUAUCGGAGGUUUUUUACAGAAGAGAAGGAACGUGAAAAUGGUGUUCUUGCAAUCAUUUUUUCAAAACCUGCCCUUCAACCUUACAUAUCUCUGGCUAGCUUAUUUUCUGUGGGUUCACUUUCCUGUAAAACACUGAAACCAUAGUAACUGUUUUCUUGUUGGAUUUAAAAAUCACCGACAAACGAUCUAAAAGGAUCUGAUCUAAAUGAUUGGUUAUUUGUGUGAUUUUGCCUUUGAUUUGGUAAUUUUUGUUACUUCCCAUUCCCAAUGAUCAUAAUUUGUAUUUCAUAUUCAGAAAAGACAAUGGUUAGCUUAGUAAUUAUGGAUUAAUGUUUUGCAAAAGAGGAAUAAUCAUUACUAUUGAUUCUUUACUCUCACAUGUCAGGUUUCAUCUGACUGCAUCUGAACUAAUGCACAAAUUGUUCUAGAAAUUCAGAUAGUUCUUGACUAAUGUGUUGUUCUGCUUUUAUCCAGGGACUAAAGUAUGAGGGUGUUCAAGGCCUUCUAGGUAUAAUUCAUACUAGGGGGACAGUUCCUAAUGCACUUCCACCACCAAGAUCAUCUCUAUUAGCAUCGUUUAAUUUGCCAUGCAAUCCAAAUGUAAGAAAAUGACUUUGUUACAUUUUUUAGGGUUAAGCUUGCAGUGAUUUAGUAAUUUUCACCUCUUCAAGGAGAUUAUUUUUUAGCUGCUUCUGUCCAUAUAUUUAUGAAGAACCUUAUGAGAAAUUAUUCUCCACAUUAAGACUUUGAAAGAAUUUUCCUUGUUUUUACAUAAUAAAUUCAGAUCCAAAUUGAACAAACAACUUCAUUGAUUCUUCAUGGAAAAUUAUAUAUGCACACUUUGUGAUCGUGAAUCAGGAAAUUUCCUUGAGUACUGGAGCUCGUGCGUUAGCCAAACAUGCUUUUAGGAGUAGCAGUGGUUAUUGGGGUUCUCUGGAUGGGAAUGGUAAGAUUUCUUUUACUGGAAUCUGUUUUUCAAAUUCCAUUCUUCCUUGGUUUCUAGGUUUUUCUUCAAGUAGAAUCUAUUUCUUAUAGAAGAUGUUGUCUAAAGAAGUUUUCUAUGUUAAGUCCAAUUUGUUUUCUGAAAUGUUUAGUUUAGUCAUUAGUGAGUAUAUUAAUAGUGUAUCUCACAUUCUUGCUCUAAGUUAAGUCACAUGGUUUUUACUUAUCCUGUCAUCUUCUUUGUUCUUUCCAGAUUCUAAUAAAAAUAGGCUUGCAAUGAAUGUCAUUAACCACUUAAUAACACAUUGUUGCUGGCUGAAUAUACAUAUUGUCCCACCACAUGGAGGUGUCUUUGAAAUAAGGGUAGCAGAAGGAUAUGGUGCACGUUGGACAGAAGACGGAAGUAAGGUGUGUGGAUAUCCCACUAAAUUCUGGUAUUUAUGUUUCUUCAUGAUGUUUUGCUAAAAAAAAGCUUUACACAUGAUACGCUGUCCUUAUCUCUCAUGACUUAAAUUAUGUUUACAACAGACUUGUCUAUCAAAAUAAAAUUUCAACCUACUUCAUUUCAGUGUAAUUGUUUUUUUCAGUUUAUUGGAUUUUUAGAGCCCUACAUGCAAGAUGGUCACUCAAAGGGAUGGAAGCACUAGUUUUUCUAGCCAGAUUGGCAGUGCCAGACCACACCAAGUACACCUUGUGACAGAAUUCCAGCAUUUCCUGUUAGCUUGUGUGGUAGUAUUUGUUUUCUAUCUCUACUUUCAUGCAUGGUAACAAGUAACCAUAGAUGAUGGAGUUAGUAUGAAUGUUAUGUUUGGAUAGUUGUUGGCACCAGUGCAAUUGGACGUUAGCACUCACUUCGAGACAAAAGUUAAUGAAACUCUUCUUAUAGAUUGGGAUGAAGUUUAGCACAAGUAGUUGUACUUUUAAGAAAUUUCCAUUAGUGCAUGUAGUUUCUUUUUCUUUUUUUUCUUAGGGGGGGGGGGGGAGGGUGGGGUGCAAGUUUAGCACAAGUAUUGAGUCAUUAAAUGUUACUGGUAAGUUCCAUUUUGGCUUCUUCCUAUCCUAUUGAUAUGAUAUUUAUUAUGGUUUUGGCCCCUUCAGAUUGCCAUAUUGUGUGGGCCUUAUGUUCAGUUUUUGUGACUUUUUCUUUCCUUUUAUCACCUCUUCAUAUUUUUCCCCUCUCACUUGCCAUUGAUCAUUUUAUCUCCUGUCAAUAUAGUUUUCUAUGUAAUUCAUAUGUACACCAGCACCUCUUGUAAUACAUUUGUAUACAACAAAAGCAACCAAUCCCCAUUUCAUUGAUAGAAAUCUCUAACUAGACUAAGGGUAUGUCUGGAUAUUCGUUUUCAUGAGUACAAAUGGACAUUAGCACACACAGUUGAACUUUUUUUUAUAGAUUGGGAUGAAAGUUCGUUCAGGUUACUUCCGUUAAUACUCUAACACUAAUUUCCAUAUCUGUAUUACAGUCAUGCAGAAAAAUUCGUUGAAGCAUUUAUUUCUGAAAUGAAUUUUGAACACCUAAGAUUUUUUUAAACUGGUAAGAUUACAAAGUAGUAAACUAGGAAGUGCAAACUCUUCUGAUAAUAUCUAAUUAAACUCAUUUCAUUAGUAUAUCAUUUUCCCCCCUCAGUUGAUGAAGGUUGUGGCCAUUUUUUAUUAAGUUGUCUCUAAAGAGACGGUAGUCUCAAUGUAGUGAAAGGUGGGUGAUUCACAACUGGUGGUGAUUCACAAAUUCUUUAUUUAAAUCACAUAUGAGAUUAGUGUACUUUGAAAGGAUUAUUACUAGCUGUCAUAGCUAUCAUUAAUGGAUUGAAAUCCUCAGUCCCCAAUUAUAUUUUGUUCUCUCUUCCCAUCAAUUAAAUAUUCAGGUCAAUUAAAAAAACACAUCAUUUAUGUAAGUUUGUAAUUGUCUGACGCAUGCAACAACAGUUUUUUUGAAAAAAAAAAAUUGACAUAGAAAUUUUUGAUUGGUUGAACAAGAAAUGUGGCACAAAUUGAAGACAGAGAAUCCUCAUUCUGAUCAUACUACAGUCUGUGUUUGAGCACAACCAUUUUUAUCCAACACCUUCUCUUGCCACUCCAGUAAAUUACAGAUAUACAGAAGAAGCUUCUGUUUCCUUUUCAUGCUUGCAAUCUGCAUUGGGUUGAACGGUUGUGGUAACACAAAUUGUGAGGUAACAAAGUUGUAACGGUCCAUCUUUGUUUGCAUGCAUUCUAAUCUAUGUAUAUUUGCAUGGAUAACAAGCAGACUUGUGUGAAUGUUACAGUUUUGUGUCCUUUUUUAUCAUGUUGAAAUGAAAAUUGAAGAAUCCAUUGGGAAAUUAGAUUUCGAUGCCUAUCUAUUCUUGGUCAUAUCAAAAUCUUUUGGGGAAGUUAGUGGAGGCAUGUAAUGUCAGCCUCGUCAUUCCUCAUUGUGCUACUCCAAGUUUCCACCCUCUUCUGUGAUCAUUGCUUGCAUCUCAAGUGAGCACACUUUGAUUAGACUAAUCGCCACAAAAUUUUGCGAAGGAAAAACCGCGCUAAAGCAUAUAUUUGAGUGUGUCUAGAAAUUGUGUAUGUUUAUGUAUAAUCACUCGGUAAAGGAUAUAAAAUGAAAGAAAAAAGGUUUAAAAAACGAUAUGUAGAGUAUUAGAGGUGUAUGAGACAUAUCACUAGCAUUGGUCUAAAAGUGCAUUUGUUGGAAGAAUUGAGUUUGAAAAAUAGGAAUGAAAACAACACAUCAAUAAUUUAUAUUGAAAGAUUUAUCAAAAAAAAAUUUAUAUUGAAAGAAUUUGUAGUUAACGGUAGUUGGGUAGAUAUAAUUUAUUUUUUAAAAAGUUUUCAAGCAGAUGGCAAUAAUUUUAAUUUUAAAGCUUUUCUGCUGACGCACCCAACUUGUUUGUUUUGCCCCCUUAAAACUAAAGAAAACACAAUUAUGGAUAACUAUUAACAAGCUUAACUCUGCUUAAAAAAAACCAAGCUUAACUAAUUGCUUUUCUGUAUUAUUGAGUAGAAAAAGAAUAANNNNNNNNNNNNNNNNNNNNNNNNNNNNNNNNNNNNNNNNNNNNNNNNNNNNNNNNNNNNNNNNNNNNNNNNNNNNNNNNNNNNNNNNNNNNNNNNNNNNNNNNNNNNNNNNNNNNNNNNNNNNNNNNNNNNNNNNNNNNNNNNNNNNNNNNNNNNNNNNNNNNNNNNNNNNNNNNNNNNNNNNNNNNNNNNNNNNNNNNNNNNNNNNNNNNNNNNNNNNNNNNNNNNNNNNNNNNNNNNNNNNNNNNNNNNNNNNNNNNNNNNNNNNNNNNNNNNNNNNNNNNNNNNNNNNNNNNNNNNNNNNNNNNNNNNNNNNNNNNNNNNNNNNNNNNNNNNNNNNNNNNNNNNNNNNNNNNNNNNNNNNNNNNNNNNNNNNNNNNNNNNNNNNNNNNNNNNNNNNNNNNNNNNNNNNNNNNNNNNNNNNNNNNNNNNNNNNNNNNNNNNNNNNNNNNNNNNNNNNNNNNNNNNNNNNNNNNNNNNNNNNNNNNNNNNNNNNNNNNNNNNNNNNNNNNNNNNNNNNNNNNNNNNNNNNNNNNNNNNNNNNNNNNNNNNNNNNNNNNNNNNNNNNNNNNNNNNNNNNNNNNNNNNNNNNNNNNNNNNNNNNNNNNNNNNNNNNNNNNNNNNNNNNNNNNNNNNNNNNNNNNNNNNNNNNNNNNNNNNNNNNNNNNNNNNNNNNNNNNNNNNNNNNNNNNNNNNNNNNNNNNNNNNNNNNNNNNNNNNNNNNNNNNNNNNNNNNNNNNNNNNNNNNNNNNNNNNNNNNNNNNNNNNNNNNNNNNNNNNNNNNNNNNNNNNNNNNNNNNNNNNNNNNNNNNNNNNNNNNNNNNNNNNNNNNNNNNNNNNNNNNNNNNNNNNNNNNNNNNNNNNNNNNNNNNNNNNNNNNNNNNNNNNNNNNNNNNNNNNNNNNNNNNNNNNNNNNNNNNNNNNNNNNNNNNNNNNNNNNNNNNNNNNNNNNNNNNNNNNNNNNNNNNNNNNNNNNNNNNNNNNNNNNNNNNNNNNNNNNAGAGAGAGAGAGAAGCUUUAGUGUUCCUUUUAAUGCAUUGUUUGUUUAGCAUGGAAAGAGGGUGGAAGAAUGGAAGAUGUGUGGAAAAUACUAUUUUCAUCUAUUUGGAUACCCAUGGAAAAUGCAUGGAAAAGAAAUAUGAUGUGCAGGUCCCACAAUUUUUUUUGGUUAAGCCCACACAAUUUUUAUUUUUAAACCCCACACAAAAAGUUUUCCUCACAACUUUGGACGUAAAACUAAAAAAUGGAACCAUUUAUAUUAAACUUUCUAUAAUGCUCGUAUUUCAAUUAUUUUUUGAAAUCAACCUGAAUCAUUAGAUUAAAUCAAAGGAGGCACGCCAAAACAUCAAUUGACACAAGCGGAGCUACCUGUGCUAGCACUUCCUCAAUCCAGACGGACCUUGGGAAAGAAGAAGCAUGUCUAGCAUGAUAGUCCACCACACUAUGGAUAAUAAUUAUUAAUAAAAUAAAUAACGAGAUAAUAGUAUGUUAUCCAACGGUUUGUUUAGGAUCCUGUUUAAUUAGUGGAUAUCGAUCGAGUGACUUGUUUCGUUGUUUUUAAUUUCAAUGGAGACUUACCCAAUAGGGUAGACACUAAAUUUUUGGUAGGGUGUUAAACUUCUGGACUUUUCUUGAGAUGUUUGCUAUAGUAGCAAAGUCCUUAUCAGCUUUAUACUACUAAACUACUGUAUCCACAUUGAUGACAUUGAUGAGAGUUAGAAAGGAUGAUAAAUUAAUAUUAUAAUAAUAUGAAGAAAUAUUUUUCAUUGCACAAGUUGUAGGAACAUUAUUAAAAUAUAUUAAUUUUUAAAUAAUAUUUUGGCUUAAAUACUCUGGAGGUCCCUGAAAUUGUCCGUCGUACGAAAAUAAGUUCCUGAAUUUUUUUUUUCCGAUUCCGAAUCCCUGAAAUUUUUUUUUAAUUAGAAUAAGUCCCUACUCGUGUUUCCACCUAUGUGGCACAAUUUUUGCUGAGUCAUUUAUUCCACGUGGCUUUUCUAUUUUUUUUAAAUUCACAUGAAUUAAAAAAAUAAAAUUAAACAUGUAAAUUUAAAAUUAAAAUAUUUUUAGGGAUUUAGGGUUAAUUAGAUUUAGGGAUUUAUUGUUAAUUAGAUUUAGGGUUAAUUUGGUUAAUAAGAUUUUAAUUUUAAAUUUAAAUAUUUAAAUUUAAAAUUUGAAUAUUUUUAUGGAUUUAGGGUUAGUAAGAUGUUAAUUUUAAAUUUAAAUGUUUAAUUUUAUUUUUUUAAUUCAUGUGUAUUUAAAAAAAUAGAAAAGUCACGUGGAAUAAAUGACUCAGCAAAAAUUGAGCUACAUAGGCUGGAAACACGAGUAUGAACUUAUUCUGAUUAAAAAAAAAUUCAAGGAUUCGGAAUCGGAAAAAAAAAAUCCAGGGACUUAUUUUUGUACGACAAACAAUUUCAAGGACCUCUAGAGUAUUUAAACCAAAAUAAAUUAUGUGACCCUUUCUUGAAUCAGCCAAUGACUUUGUUAGAUAAGUACCGGCCAACAGGUUUAAUUUAAAAAUCUCAUUUAAAAGUGAGUGACGAAAUUGUAUCAUCAAUAUUACGUACGCAUCGUGAAAUUUUAAAAAGUUUUGUUGAAAAUUCAUGUCAUGAAAUAUAGUGCUUAAUUUAAACUUUUAAACCUAACUUAUUAUAAGCGACAAUAUUAUAGUGGACAAGAAAAGUUGCAAAAUGAUGGACCACCAUCAAUAGGAUCGCCCAUAAACCUUUUUUAACAAAGUAAAAUAAUUAAGAAACGGAUGAGGCUAUGGCAAAGACAUUUCUCCAAUGAUUAGAUGGUAUGUUGGUAGAAAGAGCUUUUCUCUAUCUUGGCUUCUUGGCUAGACCUUAGGGGAAUAAGUUCCCAUUUGAUACCAUAUAAUUUUGAGCUAUUACAUUGUUAUAUUCUUCUCCGUUUGAUACCAUCUAAUUUUGAGCUAUUACAUUAAUUCACGCAUGGAUGCCAAAGUGCAAAUCUUCAACAUUGUUCACACAAUAUUCCAAAGGUACAAGUUAGGUAAAAAAUUCUAACUCAGUGUUAACUCGGAUUUUUAGAAAAUAAAUAGGAACCCACGAGUAAUGUGGGGACCAAAGUCAAGUUAUCUUAUAUUUUUUAAAUUCCUUCAACUACUCAAUUGUAAGUCAGGAUUCAAUUCUUCGAGUAAAAUAAAAUGGUUCUCAGUUAUCCAAUUUUCAACUACACUACAAAACAUAAUUCGCCCGUACCAUCCGUCAUAACUUAGCCAAUUUGUAGCUAUUUGCAAACUGCUUUGAUCGAAAAACCACUCUUUCUCUUAUAGGCCUAAAACUUAACUAUAAUUUACACCUCGUUAAAUUUCAGGCGUUAACUCAACCCUAAAGAAAAAAAGAAUGAGCAUACAUUUGUUGAGGCUGGGGAACUCAUUAUAUAAUCAUCCCGACCUAAUUACAUAUAACCUCAGGCAUGUAAUUUCUCCUUGCUUAAAUCCAUCAUAAUGGCAUUCAUGGCUCGACCCCCAUUGGGGAGUAAUUGUUCCCUACGAAUCACUUCCUUUCUGGCUUUUUAACAAUUGGCGGAGCCACAAUUGGCCUUACAUUCAAUUUUGAAAGAUUCAUUCGCUAUGUUGGGCCUUCAUGGACCCUGAUCUGCCAGACCCAAUAUGCCUUAAGAAGAUUAGAUCAUCAAACUCGGUCGACCCGAUACCAGAACAAACAUGAUGAACUGUUACAUUGUUGCAUGUCAACUUAAUAUAGCAUCUAGUUAGAAAAAAAAAGUCAUGUGGUUCGCAAGCUCCUUUCUCAAUCUUGUGUGUUGUUAGUCGCCACCAUAUACAAUAUUUUCCGUGAAACCUAAAUCCUUUCCGGUACAAACAGAUAACGAAAUUAUCACUAAGAGUCAAAAUUUUGUGAAAAAUUCACAAGCUAACCACCGUUUUUAAAGUAAUACUUGAGAGUUGAACCAUCAACUUUAAUAUCACUUAUAGAGUAUGAGGCAGGGUCCAAAGUAAGAGGAAAACUCUAUUAAUGGGCUAAAAGGUAAAAUAUCAACACUGAUCUAACACAACAUCUUGACCAAAUUUAUGAAAAUCCUUGUGAGUGAAUCACAUUUUUUUGUAUUAUCUUUAUCUCUCUCACUCUAAAGUCUAAACAAUGUGAAAAUCCUUAGUAAAAGUUAAAACAUAAAAAGCCAACAAAUACAAAACGGUUGUUUCCUUCCGUUUUGUCCUUGUAUCAAAUGCAACUUUCUUAAUAGACACUAAUUUAAGUGUGUUAUUGUUUUGUUCUAACUUGUCAAUCAAAAGCUAUUAUAAUAUCAUAAUUUUGUAGAUUAGGCACUAACUUAUUUGUUGUUUUAGAGUAGAAUAUGAUCAAAAUGAUGACAAAAUAUACCUGAAGUUGCUUUCGGAUGCAUGAAAUCAAUAUUUUUUUUUAUAUUGAACUUUCCAAUAAGUAAGGCAUCGUCAGGAGGGUGGUCAUCCUCAGGCAUCUCCAUUAUUAACAUCAUAAAUUUAGCAUCAUAUUUUUGUCUAAUAUUUUUAUUUUCAAGAGACAAUUUUAUUCGAAUAAAGAACAUUUAAGAUAUUGCUUAAGAGAAAUUAAGCAUGUGUUAUUUGACUCAACCACAUAUUGUAGUGUAAAUUUAGUAGUACCAUUUAAACAUGUAGGUCGCAUUUUAUGAGGCUGAAGUCAUAGCCACUCUUAAAUGCUCUUCUCUUCUAGCAACACGUUAACAUUUCAAGGGUAAUCAUCGAGAGUGACUCUUCACUGAAGAUAGAUUGGGUUGACAACAAAGCCCACAAACCAUGAAAAUUACUAGUAAUUCCUUAAACAUAAUUGAUUAACUGAUUUUUUUUUUUUGAUAUAUUGAUCAACUGCUAUUGAAAGUUAUGUGUUUGGGUGUAUUUCAUGGAUUUAGGGAGGUAGACGGUUUUGCUGAUUCUCUAGUAAAACAAAAUUGUUAUAGGCAUUCUUUGAAAAUGUAUAAUAUGUCCUGUGUCACCUCCUCUGUUUUGCAUCUGCUGUUAAGUGAUUAAUAAAAUCAGUUUUGUUCAUAAAAAAAUACAAUUAAGACAUUUAUUGAUGCUAAGGCCUAAGGGGGAACAUUAUUUGUGAUUUUAAAAAUGUGAGACCAUGACAAGAGAUCAAUGUAAUGAAUUGGCACCUAGGGGUGGAUUAUUUAUGUGUGUGUAAAAUUUAAGAUUAAUAGCGAAGUCAACAAGGUUUUAAUGAGUUAUAUGACAACAUCAAGUCCUUUUAAUAAUAUUAUAGUUAUUUCUAUUGUCUUAAUUUUAUCUUCAUCUCUUUGUUUGCAUUCCAUAAAGAAAUAUUUUGUUUGUUAUUUUCCGUUUAGAAUUAUAUGAUUGCCAUGCAGUGAUUGAGGAUUCCUCGCCCACAUAUUUUAUAUUUGGGAAUUUAUGUUUCAUCCCUUCCAAAGCAAUUUGCUUGAUUAAGUGGAUAUUCUAGUGGGAAUAGUUGUGUAGAUUAGAAUUAAAGAUGGAAGCAAUAGUUCAUGACAAACCCUGAUUAAUCUUAAAACUAUCAUCACCUUUAAAUUAGCUUUUUAGCCUCAACCUCUCCCUCCUCAAACCUUCAUUCUUGAAAAGAUAGAAAAAGAAGAGAGAUAAAAAAAAAAAAAGAAAUAAAUAAUGAAUGUGAUACGUGAUUUAAUGAAAGAGAGAUAUAAUAAAAUAUGGUGUAUAUAGGUGUUGUUGUAAAAAAAUAGGAAAUCAUAAAAUCUCCAACAACCAUCUCUUUACCAAGGUAGUCAAAUCGAGAUACGUAUCGUGUAUCGCUAGACCCUAAUUCCGUGUCGCGUAUCGUAUCGUAACGUGUAUCGUAAGAUACGGACACAAAAAAAAUUAAGUAAUAAAUUAAAUAAUAUACUAAUAUAUCAUCUAAAUAUAGUUCAAAAUAAUCAAAGAUCCAAGUCAUAAGUAGAAAAAUAGUCUCACAAAGUUCAAGUUCAACCUAAUUCCAGCCAAACUAAAGUACUAAACAUCAAAGAGAUGAAAUUAAAUGCCCACUCCCUAAUUCCAAGCCAUUAAAGGGCUGCUGAAGUUGAACGUGAAACAUGAAAGGGCUGCUGAAGUGAAGUUGAACGUGAAAAGGUGAAAGAAUCGAAGAAAACAUCACUUUUUAGAGCAAUUUACUAAUUUUUAAUGAAAUUAAAUGCCCACUCCCUAAUUUUUCUAGGGGAGUAAGAUGAAACGACAUUUGAAAAACUGUUUUUGUAUCGUAUCGGGAUACGUAUCGUGCGAUACUCAUGCGAUAUGUGCGAUACAGGUCACGAUACGAACACAAAAAGAUACAUACAUGGGAUACGUAUCGUUUGGUUGAUUUUCGUAUCGUAUCGGGAUACGUAUCGCACGAUACUGACACCAUGCUCUUUACUUCUAUUUAUUUAUUUAUUUAUUUAUUUAUUUAUUUAUUAUUAUUAUCAGCACAUAUAUAAUAUCUGUCGUACUACAGAAGCAAUUAUUCAUCAAACUAUAUUAGCCAUGAUCACAAGUUGUGAGUGUGACAAUGACCCUGUAUAAAAGAUUUAGAACUCAAAACAUAUUGCAAUUCCUCUGAGCACAGGUGCCUUAAUUACUUCCUUGGAAUUCAAACAGUGCCACAUGGUCAAAGGAAACCAUAAUCCACACACCAAAGAAAAUAUGGACAUUACUCCUUAUACUUCAAAGAAAACACACUUCAACCACCACCAUCAUGAAGCACCCAUAGACUUGCACAGGAUCAACCACCCCCAACACAGUAAUCCGACAUCAACAAGCCGUUCUUCAGAGUCUAGUGAAACCUGUGAUGAUGGAAAAUGGGCCUCCAAGCUUCUGAGAGAGUGUGCCACAGCAAUAUCAGAGAGAAACUCAACAAAAACUCACCAUCUUCUAUGGAUGCUAAACGAACUUUCUUCCCCUUAUGGAGAUCCUGAUCAGAAACUAGCUUCUUACUUCUUGCAAGCUCUGUUUUGCAAGGCCACAGACUCUGGCUUCAAGUGCUACAAGACCCUCUCCUCAGUUGCUGAGAAAAACCACUCCUUUGAUUCAGCCAGAAAAUUGAUCCUCAAGUUUCAAGAGGUGAGUCCUUGGACAACCUUUGGACAUGUGGCUUCAAAUGGUGCCCUUUUGGAAGCCUUAGAAGGCGAGACCAAAAUUCACAUAGUUGAUAUCAGCAACACCCUUUGCACUCAGUGGCCUACUCUGUUGGAAGCUCUGGCUACAAGAAAUGAUGAAACUCCUCACUUGAAACUCACUGUUGUUUUGUUGAGUAAUAAGAUUGUAGGGUCUGUGAUGAAGGAGGUUGGUCAACGAAUGGAGAAGUUUGCAAGGCUAAUGGGUGUUCCCUUUGAGUUUAAUGUGGUUAGUGGGUUGAGGAGCCUCACAAAAGAAGGGUUAGGAGUUCAAGAGAAUGAGGCAAUUGCUGUGAAUUGUGUUGGUGCAUUGAGGAGAGUGGAGGUGAAAGAAAGGGAAAGUGUGAUUGGCAUGUUUAAAUCACUUAGUCCUAAAGUGGUGACUUUUGUUGAGGAAGAAGGUGAUUUUGUUACCUCAAGAGAUGACUUUGUGAAGAAUUUUGAAGAGUGCCUUAAGUUCUAUAGCCUCUACUUUGAGAUGUUGGAGGAGAGUUUUCCUCCAACAAGCAAUGAGAGGUUGAUGUUGGAGAGGGAGUGUUCAAGAAGCAUAGUUAGGGUUUUGGCUUGCAAUGAUGGUGAUGAAGAUGGUGGUGGUGGUGGUGAUCAAGGUGGUGAUUGUUGUUGUGAGACAAGGGAGAGAGGGACACAAUGGUCUGAAAGACUUGGGAGUGCGUUUUCCCCUGUUGGAUUCAGUGAUGAUGUAGUGGAUGAUGUCAAAGCAUUGCUCAAGAGGUACCAAGCUGGGUGGUCACUUGUGGUGCCUCAAGGAAAUGAUCAUAAUCUCUCAGGAAUAUAUCUCACAUGGAAGGAGGAACCAGUAGUUUGGGCAUCAGCAUGGAAGCCCCAGCUAGCUACUUGAAUAUGUGUCUAGCCAGUAUCAUUAUGUUUAUUAUGUUUAGUGUAACUCGUUCAAAAACUACAGUUAAGACAAAAUAAUGAUGGACAGAAGGAACUUCUCUUGUACUUCUGUCCAUCAUGAUUUUACCUUUACUGCGAUGUUUAAACGAGUUUUCAAACAUGCAUUUAGUCUUGUUUGGAAAUUUUUCUACAAUUGAUUUCUAAAAUCUGAAUCAAUUCUGGAAAGAAGCUUCUAUGAUUAGCUUCAAGUUUCAGAAUUCAUUUUGAUAAAAGAAAAAUUGAUGCAAACAUAUACUAUCAGUGCCAUGCCAUAUAAAUCAUAUGGUAUCUGGAUAGGCUAAUACUCAAGGGACAGAAAUUUCUCACUGGAAAAUAAGGUUUGGCUUGCCCUAUGGAUAUAGCAAUUAGCAAUGGCUAUAUAUUGAAACUGAUCUGGAUUUUUCUUUUGACUUUCUCUCCUGAUUCUUGCAUAGUACUUUGUAAUCUUUCUCCUGUCCAACUCCUCUAGAGAGGUAGCAUUUUGCUUGGGAGUUUGUGUUGUUAACUAUAUGGCUUUUUACACUUUUAUAUAUUAUAAUGAUUUAAGUUCAUUGCUAUUGUUUGAAGGUGUUUGCACCUGUGCUCUUUUUAUGAAUUCCAUGGCUUUCCUGCUUCCUGUACAUGGGGAAGGGGAAUUGAGUUUGGUGCCCCACCCCUUAGGCUUUGCACCCCACUUUAUUAAAUACGGAAUUUAAAGUUCCGUAUCAAUACGGAAAAUAAAAUUCCGUAUCUGUUUUAGUAUAUAAUGAGUGGUUGAAAAUGUGACACGCAUGCUUAAAUACAGUACGGAAUUUUAAGUUCCGUAUUCAAUAGGGAGAAUACGGAAUUUUAAAUUCCGUAUUUGAUAAAGUGGGGUGCCAAGCCCCAUAGGUGGGGUGCCAAACCCAACUCCCCUGUACAUGCAUGUAUUAUUUCCUUAACUUUAUUUUUCUUUCAGGGCAUUGUACCUUGUUAAGAUGAUGAUAUCUCAAUAAUUUACCUGCAUACAUAAAGUCCUUUAUGCUUAAACUUUUCAGAAUUCAGGAUAUGUUUUGGUACUUUCUUACCUGAAAAUUACAUUGUCUUAUAAUUAAUUUUUUUUAGGUAGUCUUAUAAUUAAUAUUAAUUAUUACUCCUUUUCUAUAUGUUUUAUUUGAAAAAUUGUACAUGACUUCUUUUAACUAUUAAGAAGAUUAUCGUUAAAUACUAACCUUUUUUUAAGAAAAUACUAACGUUAAUAUCAAGAAAACUUAGUGUAAAGCAAUCCCUAAGUUUUUAUAUUUUUUUAGAUGUCUCUUUCCCCCUAGCUUAGCUUCCUUAUUUCAACAUGUUAAACUCCGUUCCGGACGGUUCUGUUUUAAAAUUUUAAAAAACAAAUAUUAAUUUUCAGCUGUAUAAAUUCAAUUGUAAUUCAAGGGUUGUUGUUGGGCUUACAUUUUCUCUGGCUUAAAAAUUGGAAGAAGGUCAUGUGUGGUGUGGAUUGUCUGGAGUUGGUGAAUGUGCUUGGUAAGAAUAAACUUGAUUUUCAUCAUUAUGGCAGUGCUUUGAUGGAUAUUCAGCUUCUUCUCUCGCGCAAUUGAGAGAUUUCUAUCUGUCAUGUUUGUUGAGAAGGCAAUGCUCCAUUGGAUUGACUAGCCGGUCUUGGAGCUAGAUUACAGUGUCCUAUAACUGAAUUGGAGUCCCCUCCUUAGGCGGUCCUGCCCCUCUUGUCGGCGGGCCGAGUCGCGGUGUAGUUUUGUCGUUUAUUUUUCCUAUUUACCAAAAAAAAAAUCAAUUGUAAUUUCCUGAGGUUUUCAAUUUUAAAAAUUGUUGUCAAGUUUAUAAAUUUAUGAUAGUCAUAACGGUUUUUAAGAUGGUAGAGGCGAUAGUGGUGGUGGUGGUGACGGAGAUGGGUGUAAUCUGGUGGCGACGGCGGUAGAAGUGACAAUGGUGGUUGAGGCGAUGGCAGUGGUGGAGGUUGAUAGUGACACUGUGACAGUAAUGACAGUGGCGCCGGUAACAAUGACAAUGAUCGAGAGGUGGUGGUGGAGAUGGUGGCAGUAGUAAUUGUAGUGGCAGUGAUGAUGAUGGUGGAGGCAGUAGUGGAGGGUGGUUUUAAUGGUGAUGGUAGGGGUAGUGAACAAUGGUGGUGUUGAUGGCGACUUUGGUGACGGUGGAUGUGGCGGUGAUUGUGGUGGUGGUGGAGGAGAAGAGUGGUGGUGGUGGUGGUGGCGGGUUACAUGGUUUUGAUAAUAAGAGUAAACUGUUUUGAAUUUAAGUAAAACACAAUUACAGCUCCAUAUUUUCCGAACUAGUUUUGUUUUAAAAUUUAUAUUUGAAAACUAAAAAGUAAAAAACCAAAAACUCGCAACCACCUUUAACGGUUCACCGAGUGGAACAUGACAAAGUCGUAUCUUACAGAUUAAUGGUUCGAGCCCCUCAGGAGUUUCCUUUACCAUUGACCGAUGCACACUAUAUCCUCACUUUAAAUUUGUCUUCACAAGAGAAAAGAAAAAAUUGCUACCACAAGUUGGAAUUUGUGAAUCCAUCACUAGGAGCAAAUAGACUCAAAUUUCUAGAACAUAUCAAAUACGAGACGAUAUCAUACUUCACUCAACUAACAGUUAAAUUAUUACAACUACUAAAAACUCUUCAUCUCCUAAUAGUGAUGAACUAACUCUUGCAAGUAAAAUGUACUUGAAUAAUUUUAUACGGAUACAUGUUGAACCCUCCAAAUUAUAAAAAAGAAAGGAUACAUAUUGUUAACUACAAGUUUCACAUAAUUUCGACUUAUAUUGUGUAAUUCGACUGUUUAAUGAAAGUCGAAAGUUUGAAGAUCCAGGCAAGAAAUUUGUUAAGUGUCAGAUAAUGUUGACACUUAUAGUUUCGACCUAAAGAAUAAAUUUCGAGACAUAAGGAAUUUGAUGUUGAAAGCCGGUUGUUUUUUGAACAUGACUCAAGGAGGACACGUGCAAGGCAAGAAGACACGUGUAAGACGAAAGGGACUUCAGAAGACACUUGUAAUCGCUUUGUUAAAUGACUGUUAGGAGUCAGUUAUAUUUUAGGUCUAUAAAUAGCAUAUUAUUACAUAGAAUCAGGGUUCACGAAUACUUACUCGAAUGUACUCAAAACGCUUACAGUCGAACGCAAUGACUACAAGCAAACUUAGAGGAAAAAAGUAGGAAUUUUGUGAAACUAUUUUAUUUUAAGAUUCAAGUAUCAUAUUGAAAGUUUCAGUACUUGUUUAUUUACUUUAGUCGAAUUUUACUUGUUUCAUUCAUAUUUCUUAUUAAGUUUUCUCAUUUUUUAUCAAUUAAUAUUUAAGAUAUUUUCGCCAAAGAACCUAAGGACUCGAAUCCAGUAUCCAGAUUGAUCUUUGGAUUCUUUAUUUGUUUUAUUAAAAUUUGGUGUAAACACAUAUUAAAGUUGAAGUGAUGGCCAUGAAUAUGGUGUACAAAUUUAGCAGAAGGAGUAGGGGAAUUAAAGACACUGAGGGAGACCAUGCAGAAAGUGACUCUAUAUUUCCUUCCACAGGCUUUCGCUUUAGAAAUGCAACAACUUGGUGGAAAGAAAGAACUCAGUGGGAAACAUGGAAACCGUACGAAUCAUAAAUUUCAAAAGUAAUCACAGUCUAGAAUAUUUUCCACAGGGGCCACUUGGUUCUUGGAGCCACAGUUUCGGUUGUCGAUUAAGAUUCUAUGCCCCAAUAAGACAUCUAUGUUUGAAUGUGUCAUAUUAAUUGGGGUUAAAUGUUUUUUUCAUGACUUAUGCACCAUAAUUUAAAAUGAUCUUGAAAACUUUCAUAGUUUUAAUCAUUGAAAAAAUUUGUUUGAUAUAAACCUAGUUCGGUCGAUUGACAGCCCAAACUGAAGCCGACUGAAAUUAACCACCAUGAAUCAAUUAAAAAUCUCAACCAUUCAACCGACCUGAAUCGACCCGAUGGACCAAAAAGGCCCUCGGUUUGGGUCGGGCCUGUUUUGUCUGGACAACCCUAGUGAGUAAUCGAUUACACAUCGAAUGUAAUCUGUUCCACAUUAAGUGUAAUCAAUUUAAACCAGAGAAUAUAUAAUAGUAUAAAAUUGAACGGUGUAGAUUAAUUAUGACCUAAGCAGGUGCUAGCGUCCAUUUGCACUAAUGUCAACAAAUAUUCAAAGAUAGUCUUAAGGUGUAUUUGAUGAAAUAACUUAAUUAAGCAAUUAUAAUAAUAAGCCUUUGUCACAUAAACACUUAUCCAUGACUAAUUUGAUAAGCUGAAUACAUUGAAAAUAUUUUAUAUAUAUAUAAGUAUAAGCUCAUAUUCAUAAGUUUAUUUGACCAGCUUAUGAAAAUAAACUUAACAAUCACAACUUACUUGAAAAACUUGCAUAAAAUUUAUGCAAUGAGCUUAAAUAAUAUUUUUCAAAUAGAAGUGUUUAGAAUUGGGAGUUUGAAGGUAAAAUGAAGAAGAGGGGGCCAUAUAUAAUAGACCCUGGCUAGCACAAAGGCUACCGACUGAAUUGUGUGUGCCUUUUUGGUGUAGCAGUGAUUUGAAUAGCAUAUUUGCCUUUAGUGAGUGAGCUAUUCCCUUCCAUUGCUCUUUAGUUUUAUAGGCCAACAUUACAUAGUGGCAAGCAACUUUUUGGAUUCAGAUUGGACUUGUUGGUACCAUCAUGGGUACUAUUUUCUUUGUUACUUGCUCGUCACACGUAACGGUGCCAUAACUUAUAUUCUUGGUUGCUUUCUUUCGUUCACAUAGAUAUAUACAAACACAAGAAUGCAAACACAUAAUACAUGCUUCACAACAUUAAAGUGCAUGGCCACUAGCUACUAUAUAUGUUCAUGACCACGUCCUGUUAAAUGAUAUUUUGAUCGCGUAUGAGCCCAUGCAUUUUUCUUUUUGGAAGAUUCCAUGCUCUUUCACUCUUUUGAGUUCUUUGUCUAAUUCAAGUUUGAAAUUUAAAAGAAAAUGAAUUUACACAUUGAUAGGAUAAGUUUGUCUUCACAUUUACUUUUAACUGAAUGGAGACCAAACAAGAAAGCUCCUUUUCACGUGGAUUAUUUGCUUUGAAAAUGAUCAUUUUACUUUCAACACCGGGCUAAACGCUCAAACUAAGGAUUGUCACUCCUUACAUAAAGGGAAUUAUACUAGAAUCAAACAUAAGAGGAACAAAACAGAAAGAAAGAGCAAAGUCAUAAAUCAUAAAAGGCACCAAAAGGCUCAUUUCAUUCUUAACAAAGGAAUUUGCAACUGAAUUCACCUCUCUGGACACUGAACACACGUAUUACAAAUGAACUUGCUCAAAACUACCAAUUAAAUAGCCUUUAAUAUCUCUAACCAAAGGAGAAAAAAGUUUAGAACCAGGGCAGUCUUUAUCAAUAGUUCUCACUACAAAAUUAGAAUCUAUUUCAACUAUGACUUUAGUGAAGCCUCUUGCAAGUGCUAAAUUCGGCCCAUGAUAAAUGCCACAUAAUUCUGCCUGGUUAAUGGAGCAACAGUUCAUCAGGGAAGAGAAGCCAAACAUAAAAUUACCUUCAUGAUCUCGUAUAACACCGCCGCAAGCCGCCCUCUUCGUGAGAGAGGAGAAAGAUCUGUCAGUAUUAAUCUUGAUCUUAUCAUGUCAAUACUUCUUGUAUGCACUGCAUAUAUAAUAGAAUCAUAGCUUGAACAUCCAUAAUCGUUUUGUGAAUCCUACUACAAAUGAAGGGUGGAGAGGAUCCACGCCAAUGUUGUUGAUUAAUCUAUACACAUAGUUAGUAAAAAAAAGUGCAAACAUAGUAGUUAGCUCAACUCAUAUUGCAUCAUAUUCUUAAAAAAUCAUAUUCUAUUAUCUCUACCAUUUUUCCAUAGUUAUACAUAAUUACCAAGGACUAGUUUAUUCAAGUGAUAGAUACUUAAUUCUCCUUAAGUAAGAUUUUUUUUCCAUGUUUUGUAUAAAAAUUCCUCGCCGGGAAAACUAACUUCACAAGAAUUAUCUCCCAUAAAAGAUACCAAAAUAAUAGUUAUAAAUAAUCACUCGUAUGAUAGUUUUUUUUUCUUUUUCAAUUGUUUGGUUGGAUAAACAUUCUUUUUUUUUAGAAAAAGAUAAACACUCUUAGCCCAAAUGAUCUGAGCCCAAUCCAUAUUCUCAAAUGGCCCUUAUAACAAAGGAUAUAAUCGUCAUUUAGACUAGGGUCAAAAUCGGUAUUUCAAAUGUAGGCUAGGGUUUCGUUUAUGAACCCUGAACCGUAUAAGGCGCAGAGUGAAGUGUGCAGAGGCGGAGAUCGAGAGCGAAUCGCAGCGAAGUCGACUCCACCAUGGUAAUUCUUCCGAUUCCGAUUACCUUCUUCAAUUGUUCUCGCAUUUUACAGUUUCCCUCUCUAGUCGAUUCCCAUUUUGCUGUAUCUCUCUGUAUUCGAUUCGCAAUUUGCAGUAUUUCUAUGGUUUUUUGUCUGAAAUCGAAACCCUUUGUAUAAUUUCAACUCUGAUUACGAAGCCCAAACGAAAGUUUGUAAAUUUAGUUGCUAGCGGUUUAGUUGAAUCAUUUUUGCUUGUGUAGUUAUUUUUUUUGUUUUCAGCAGUGAAGAUUGGAACUUUUUUUUUUUGUAGAAUGUUUGAUUUGAUUUAGGUUUAUGCUUUGGUUUAGGUUUCUGAAAUUUUAAAUCAAUGUUUCUGCAAUGUUUGUGUGAUAGAGAGCAAUGGUUUUUUGUGAUUCAUAUUGUUGACCCCACUUAGAUGACCUCACUUAGUUGAUUAAUGUUGUUGUUGUUGUUGUUGUUGGUGGUGGUGGGUGGUGGUGGUGGUGUUCCCGCUACCGUCUAUGUUGUUGUUUGUGUAGAGUGUGCCUUUUGUUUUCAAUGGUUUCUUGUGAUUCAUAUUGUUGACCCCACUUAGUUGAAUAAUGCUGUUGAUGAUGGUGGUGGUGACUGGUGGUGUUGUUGCCACCGUCGUCUCUGUUGUUGUAUAUGCAUGUAUGUGUAGAGUGUGCCUUUUGUUUUCAAUUCGUAAGUGUGCUGGUAGCGAUUGCUGAACUGUGUGGGGUCUGGUAUUUUGUUUUGUGCAGCCGAAGCAAAUUCAUGAGAUCAAGGACUUCCUUCUCACUGCUAGGAGGAAGGAUGCACGCUCCGUGAAGAUCAAGAGGAGCAAAGAUGUGGUCAAGUUCAAGGUCCGUUGCUCCAAGUAUCUGUACACCCUGUGUGUGUUUGACACUGAGAAGGCUGAUAAGUUGAAGCAAUCACUUCCUCCUGGUUAGUUUUUCAGAACGGUUUUUGUUGAUAUGUUUUGGCUUCUUUUGUUUGUUAUGCUCCUAUUGUAUGUUGUAUGAUAAUAAUUCAAUAUGCAAAUUUUAGGUAGGUGAUUUGCAUUGCAUGAUUGGUAUGAUUGUUUUCUGCUUUUGGCCAUAAAUUAGAAAUAUCAAUGUAUUAGAUACUAUGAUGGUCAAGAAAAAUACAAUACAUCUUGUUUCUUUCUUUCUUAAGUUUUUGGUUUGGAUGAUGUAUGAUGUACUGUGAUGAAGAAGAUAUAUUUUUGGGGAUUUUCAUGUUUGGAAACAAUACAGGUUUCCACAUUCAGUCAGAAUUGGCUUUGAAAUAUAAUGAUGAAUGACAAACUACUGUGUUGCUUAUAUGCUGAGGAAUUAAUUUUUGAUUGAUUAAAGCAUAUCCAAACAUGCUCAUCAUGUCUUGUCUUCUUACAUAUAUGUAAUUCAACCUUUGCAGGUCUAACUGUGCAGGACCUGUGAUUCUGGACUUGUAGUGGAUGAUGAUCAUGUUUUGUUUGGACUUUUGAGAUGGGAUUUUGUGUUUAGUAAAAUGGCUUAGAGAUUGUUGUUCUUCUGGUUGCUUAUGACUAGUUUUAUGUUUUGUGAGGGGUCCAAUUUGCAUCUGGAUAAUGCCUGCUAGUUUAUUGAACUCCAUGAAUUUUACAGUAGAACAUUUUCAGCUGUUUCUUCAUUCUGGUUUUGAGAUGAACAGAACCAUUUUUAUAUCUUGAGCACUUAUCACGAAGAGAAUCACAAAUUUAACUACGAAACUUUGAAGCUUUUAACUCUAAAGCUAAUUUUUCCAAUAAUGUUUUGAUCUUUUAGUUUUAUAUAAAAAAAAAUUCUUCAUAUUUGAAUAUCAUUUUCAUAUUGAUUAAGAACAAUUGAUUUGAGAUUAAUGAUACAUCAUGACAUACAUUAAAUCUAAAAAAUUAACAAAUUUACUAGACUUGAUACUUCAUGCAUCCUUUUUCAUGAUUGAUUGUCUUCAUCAAAAUGCAUCUUUCGUGGACCAGAAAUACUUCUUUCACCUCCUAUGAAAUUUCUACUACAUGUCAUAUUCAAGGGAAUGGGUGGAUCUGAGAAAGCCCCAGAAGAUAUUAGACCAAAGACAACUUUGUUAGCUGCCUCGGUGUAGUGGUACCCAUCCCAUAUCACUCUAGUGGAUGGUUUUUCACAAGAGCCCACAGUAAUUAUAUUACCAUCUAUGGUUACGGUUCCCCCGCAUGUAAUUCCAUCUCUAAAAUUGUAUUUUCCUCCAUAGCCACAAGUAACUAGUGGGUGCUCAAAUCCUGCAUAUAAGAUUGAAACUAGUAACAUUCCAUUUAGGUAAACUUGAUAAUAUGAACGUGAGAGUUGAGGUCAUUUUUCUUUGACUUACCGUAUUUCUUUGGGUUGCAAAAAAGAGAGUACUUAGGUGUGUAGACAUAGACAUAUACAAUUGUAGCUAGAGGAAGCUCCUCACGAAGUUUUGUUAAGGCUUCUUUCAAAUUCUUAUUGAAAUAUUGUGCUAUUUCAUUAUGUUGCUUUGCACAACCAUAACUAUCUCUUUCAGCAGAUGAAAAUUGAGUCAAUAUGCCAGAGAGACAUCCAGUUCGUCCUGUGUUGUGUAUCCAAAACGAUCUAGCCCCCAAAUUAUAUAUGCUCUUGAUCACCAAAUUUCAUUAAUUUAAAAUACGAAAUUAAGAAAUCAGCUAGUGAGAAUAUUUUUACUAAAAAUUAAAAUAGAUUUGAGAAAGAAUGGCAUCAAUUGUAUUAGUCCUUAAAUAUUAAAAGUUAUUUUGGAAAUUUAUGAAUAUGAACUUUUCAUUUUUUUUUUGAAACUGAACUUUUCUUUUUUCUUUUUUUUGGUUACUUUUUUUUUUUGUUACAACUUUUCAUUUUUCAAAUUUAAAAGACUAAAUAUCAUUCCUUUAAUAUUAUUAUGAAAGGACUAAUUUGAUUAUUGAUUCAUAAAUAUAUCAAAAGAGUGUUUGCUACAUUAAUUUUCGUUAUGAAAUUGUCGACUAGAUCAGGCACUGAAGCAUUGACUUGUUGUAUAGUUGUGUCACCAGAAAAGCUAAGAUCAUUUUGACCAAUGUCAAAUGUGUAUAAAGCUCUAGAAAAAUACUCUUCUUUGGGCAUCAACGUUGCAAAUGUUCCACCUUGAAGAAAAACAUUCAAAACCUUAUCGUUAAUUAAACUCUAAAUCACCAAAAGAUAUCAACGAAAAUAAUUUCUUAACCGACCUUGAUAUUUUAUGGAUUGUGUUUUUGAUUUAAACUCUCUGAAUUGAACGUACUGAACUUCUAGGUAGAAAGGACUUAAGUUUCCUUGAGGUAUAAUACUCUUUGGCAUUUUAAUUGUUGAUCCGUAUGUGGCAAAGUUUGCACCAUGAGAGAAGUUUGACCCUAAAGAGUCAAGAUAGGGACUGAGAUAUGGAAGUCCAAAAUUCUGUGCUGAAAUUAUAAGAUAUGAAUCAAAGUUAGACUUAAAAUCCUUCUUCACUUGACAAUAAUCUAGUUGAUGAUUAAACUUUGUACAUGUGAGUAAGUGAUUCGGGCAUACAUUCAAUUUUAUUCGAAUCACUCUGUGCUGAAAUUACAAAGUUAUGAAUCAUGGUUAGAUUUAAAAACCUUCACUUGACAAUAAUCUAGAUGGUGAUUAAAUUUUUACAAGUAAAAAAUUAUUUGAGCAUUAGUUUAAUUUUAUUCGAACCACACAAAAGGAUAUUGCGAUGCCCAAAUUCUAACUCAUCUAUCGUCAAUGUAUUUAGAUGAUGAGUUAUUUAACCCAAAUUUUUUCAUGGAUCAUUUAGACAAUAUGACUAUGAAGUCUAAACAUAUUGCAAGAGAAGCCGCACAAAGAAGCCGCAUGAAAUUGACUCUAAAGUCGGUAAGGAAAUAGCUAAAUUUGUUACCUAUGAAAUCAAGGAUGAUUCGGCCAUCAGAGGCUCUUCCGGUGGGUCUGUGAAAAUAAGUCUCUCCAUAUGGUGAUCUUGCUCCUCCAAAGGCAGCAGCCAAGCCGCCAGUAUCCGAGUUUGAGGCACCAAAAUUAAAGAGGCAGGAAAGACNNNNNNNNNNNNNNNNNNNNNNNNNNNNNNNNNNNNNNNNNNNNNNNNNNNNNNNNNNNNNNNNNNNNNNNNNNNNNNNNNNNNNNNNNNNNNNNNNNNNNNNNNNNNNNNNNNNNNNNNNNNNNNNNNNNNNNNNNNNNNNNNNNNNNNNNNNNNNNNNNNNNNNNNNNNNNNNNNNNNNNNNNNNNNNNNNNNNNNNNNNNNNNNNNNNNNNNNNNNNNNNNNNNNNNNNNNNNNNNNNNNNNNNNNNNNNNNNNNNNNNNNNNNNNNNNNNNNNNNNNNNNNNNNNNNNNNNNNNNNNNNNNNNNNNNNNNNNNNNNNNNNNNNNNNNNNNNNNNNNNNNNNNNNNNNNNNNNNNNNNNNNNNNNNNNNNNNNNNNNNNNNNNNNNNNNNNNNNNNNNNNNNNNNNNNNNNNNNNNNNNNNNNNNNNNNNNNNNNNNNNNNNNNNNNNNNNNNNNNNNNNNNNNNNNNNNNNNNNNNNNNNNNNNNNNNNNNNNNNNNNNNNNNNNNNNNNNNNNNNNNNNNNNNNNNNNNNNNNNNNNNNNNNNNNNNNNNNNNNNNNNNNNNNNNNNNNNNNNNNNNNNNNNNNNNNNNNNNNNNNNNNNNNNNNNNNNNNNNNNNNNNNNNNNNNNNNNNNNNNNNNNNNNNNNNNNNNNNNNNNNNNNNNNNNNNNNNNNNNNNNNNNNNNNNNNNNNNNNNNNNNNNNNNNNNNNNNNNNNNNNNNNNNNNNNNNNNNNNNNNNNNNNNNNNNNNNNNNNNNNNNNNNNNNNNNNNNNNNNNNNNNNNNNNNNNNNNNNNNNNNNNNNNNNNNNNNNNNNNNNNNNNNNNNNNNNNNNNNNNNNNNNNNNNNNNNNNNNNNNNNNNNNNNNNNNNNNNNNNNNNNNNNNNNNNNNNNNNNNNNNNNNNNNNNNNNNNNNNNNNNNNNNNNNNNNNNNNNNNNNNNNNNNNNNNNNNNNNNNNNNNNNNNNNNNNNNNNNNNNNNNNNNNNNNNNNNNNNNNNUUAAAUUAAUUCUAGACCACCCCGGCUAAUUUAGUUAAUAGCUUAGUGCUCCUCCUUUUUUAUAAAAUUAAAAAUAUACCCACAAUCCUCUUUCACGUUCUUCCUUUAGUUUCAAAAGAAAAAAAAAUGCUCUUCCCUUCGCCGGCGGCAACCGCAACCUAGAUCGACGUGGUGCGGUGGUGGACGCUUCUCCAACCAGCAUGCCAAAGCUGUUUGCCUCUUCUUCUUACGUCCUUCUUGAAUUGGUUUGUUUUUCUUCAAUUCAGUUGUUUACACAGUUUACAAGUUCAAUUUUUCUAUACUGUUUUUAUUUCAGUGGUUGAUUGUUUCCAUGGAAUUUUAAGACUUUAAUCUGAGUCUAGUUUCUUUUCUACAAUUGUGGUGUUGCAUUUCUACAUUUGUACAAUCUGAUUUUUAUGAUGCCCUUAAGUUGUUCGAUGAAAUGCUUCAUUGAAGUGUCUUUGUUCAAUUACUUUGUAGUAAGAUUGGUGUCAAUCCUGGCUCUGAGUUUCGAGUGGCAUGUGAUGAAGCAAACAAGUAUGGUGAUUUUUUUACCUGCGUUUUUAUGUUUCUGUUUUGAGUACCAUGUUUUGUUAUUCUUUUGUGCUUUUUUUUUACUCUAGGUACUGUUCUGUUACUUUUUGUUUGUACUAUCUACUCACUUGUAAGAGUUUGUUUCUAAUAUCCUAGUUGCUAAUUUCUUGUUUUCCUUGGCUGGGUUUUGAGCAUAUUCAGCAGGUGGAAUCGCACAUGACCUCUCUUGUUAUGAUGCAAAGGAGCUGUUUUUCGAGCAGAGUUGUUUUUCGCCUCAUCUGGUUCCCUGUUUUGCUGUUUAUUUUUUUUGCAACCUUAGGAGCUGCUGCAGAACACGUUUUCUAUGUGGCAGAAGAGCACACAUCAAGAAAUCACAAUGCCUUAGAACAUACCUUGUAGCCACUUUAUCAGAUUUUCUAUGUGACACAGUAUAAUGAGUACAUAAACUAUUUUUCAAAGUCUGUAAUAAGCGGUAGCCCUUAACCGAUGAUUAUGAAAUCCCAAAUUUGCACGGGUAUUUGAAAUUCAUUAUACGAAUUUAUAACUUGAAAGGGGGAUAUGAGGGAAGUUAAAAUUUGGUUGGGGAGACAGAUUUGAGGAUGCGUACAGUGGCGCAAAAAUGGUACAUAGGGAAGGAAAAAUUGGGGAUUUUUCAUAAUAAAAAAUUGAGGAUUUUCUGAAGCAGGGUAAUUUUUAGGUAUUUGUUUGAAAUUCAUAAUGAGGAUUUGAGAAUGAGAAUCUAAGUGAAUCAAUUGAAAUCUGUAACGCACUUGAUUUGGGGUGAAUGAAAAAGGAUACAUGGUUGAGAUUCAUGGAAACACUGAGAUACAUAUGAUAAAGGAUUUGAUGUCUCUUUUAAAACGGAAACUUAAUAUACAUGUUACAUUUUUUUUUAAAAUAGUUACAUGGUUGAGAUACUUACAUGUAGAAGCAAGGCAAGAUCCACGGAAAUUUACUAUCAAAAAGAAGAUCCACGGAAAUUUGUGUUGACUUGGAUGUUAAAUUUAAGCAUUAAGGUAGUGUUUGGUCCAAUUUAUUUUUGACUUUUAAGCUCUUAAAAUAUAAGCUACUUAUUUUUUUUUACAAAGAAAAUAUAAAAAAAGUGACUUUUAAGUAAAAAGUUAAACGAGGGAGUUUUUUUUUUAAAUAAACUGUAGAGACAUCACAUUUAUCCUCCACUACCACUACCACUUCUACCAUCAUGUCAACCACAAUCGUCCACUACCACCAUCGUUACCUCCGACACGACCACUACCACCUUCAUGGCCACCACCAUCACAUCCACUGCUACAGUCACCCUCCAUCACUUCUACCAUCACUUCCACCACAUUGUUGCCACUUGCACGACCACCGUCACCACCACCGCCACCACUCCAGUGCCACCACCACCAUCACCUCUACUGCUACCGCCACCCUCCACCACCACAUUGUUGCCAAUUGCACGACCAUUGUAGCAAUCUUUUGUUCCAAUAGAAGCAGAAGUGAUGUCGAUUAUUCAAGAAUCGAAGUCGAUUUGCUUUAUAAAAAGAGGAUAUCAAUGAACUUUUAUGAAAUGGUUUCACGGGAUUCAGCCAAUUUACAUUAUACGCAACAGAAGCACCUGAAGUACUAAACAGAAUAGGUAUUAGUUUGGUAAUGGUUGGAGCAGCAAACUCGGAUUCGGAUCCGCUAAGACUAACGUAUCUACAACUCCAUCCCCGAGCGGCAGUCAAACGGAGGCGUGAAUGCAAGAUGCCAGCAGAAUGAUCGGCCGGACAGAGGCUAGGGCUGCUUCCUUCCCACUGCGUCCUUCCUUGUGUGUUGAAGAUAUAAAGCGAGGAUAGAGUCGAUUACAAAAAGUACUUGGCCACCACUCCAUUGCCACCACCACCAUCACCUUUACUGUUACCGCCACCCUCCACCACCACAAUCGUCCACCACCACAUUGUUGCCACCUGCACGACCACCGCCACCACUCCAUUGCCAUCACCACCGUCAUUGCCUCCACCACCGUCACCUCUACUGCUACCGCCACCCUCCAACACCACCACCACCACCUUCUCUACCAUCACCUCCAUCAUAACCGUUCACCACAACCAUGGUCGCUUCCACAACUACAUCACCACAACCUCAAUUGCCACGACCACCAUCACCUCUAUAAAUUUAUUUAAAUAUGAAUGACACUACUUUAAUUACUUUGGUUAAGGAAUAUUUAUUGGUUUAAAUAACCCUUAGUAUCCAAACAAAGUCUUUCCAAUAUGUCGUGGUGGUAAGUUGUGUUGGCGGUGAUGACGUUGUUGGUUGAGGGUUGUGGAGCCGAUUUUCGGGGUGGAGGGUGGUGGUGGAGGGUAUUGUGGUGAUGACAGUGUUGUAGGAGGUUGUUGUUGCGGUAUUGGUCGUGUUGUAAGGGGAUGGUGGUGGUGGUGGCAGUUGUGGUCGUAUAGUGGUUGUAGAGGGUGGUGGCAGUGUAAGAGUGCGAUAGUGGAGGUGUCGAGGCGGCGUUAGUGGUGAUAGAUUAUAUGGUCAUGCAUAAAACAACAUAUCAAACGAAACCUAAUGUGUUGUCAUUGCUUCCAUUACCACUAUCAGCGUCACUACCUCCCCUACCUUCACCAUUGCCACCACCAUCACCAACAUUGUUACAGUCGUAGUAGUCGCCUUUACCACCUUCACCAACGUAGUCGCCACCUUUACUGUCGCCAGAGCUGUGUAUAGACUUUUUGGGGCUUAAGGUGAAAAUGUUAAAGUGAUUUUCAAUCGACAAUAAUCUUAAAGAAACUUAAUAUAUUAAUCUUCUAUUUAUAGGUACUAAUUGUUUUUUGUUAUGGGGAUCUAAGGCACAUGCCUAAGUGGCCCUUACGGUAUCGACGACUCUGACAGUCGCUAGCGUUGUCAACCACCACUGAUGCCGAUAGUGAUGGAGGUCGUUUCGGGCGUGACUUAGCGGUAGAUGGCAGAGGUGGUGGUGGAAAUUGCAGUGGUGGUGGUGAUGGAAAUCGCACGUUGGUAGAGAAUAAAACAUUAAAGUAAGGUGGUCUAGAACAAACCUUUCACUCGAAACACCCAUCAAAACUAGUUAACCUAUACACAUAAUGACCUGUGGCAGAGCAAGGAGUUUUUUUUUCAGAGGUUGCAAUAAAAUUUCAAUACAUAAAUUAAAUACUUUUUAAUCAAUAAUACACACAUAUGUUCAUAAGAAAAAUCAAAGAUUCAAUUGAUUCAUAUAAUAUGAAUAUUAGAAAUUUAUUAUGAGUUAAGUUAAUAUUUUAAAAAUUUGCUUCUCAAUUUUUUAUUCUCUCCACACAUAUAUACAUACAUAUAUAUAUAUAUACCUUUUUUUUGAAAUAAUAUAUAUAUAUACCUUUUAAUAAAAUAUGUCUUUGUUUUAAUGUAAAACUGUUUAAAAAUAUGUAGAUGAUGAGAUCUCAAAUAAAUAAAACAAAUAUUUAAAGAGGGAUAAAAAUUUGGAAAUUAUACACAUUUGCCCAGCAUGCUAGGUGAAAGAAUAAUAAUGUCAAACUAUUUCUUAAAAUUGCACUGGGUAUGCUUCGAACCCUAUACACGGGAGGCCUUAUAAAAAGGCUCUAUCACCACUAGGACUCCACAAGUUAUAGUCUUUGUUUGCACCGUUUAAAUAUAUUGCUUAUGUUCUAUAUACAAAAGAUUUAUAUUAUAUACAUCAUAUAAAAUAUUUUUUGGUUAAACAUAGCAUUUAAAUUUAUAAAGAUUGUGAAGUUUACCAUUUUACCAAUUUUAAUAAGAUCAUCAAAGUUGCUGCUGAGCAUAAGAAACGGUGGGAAAAGAGUCAAAGACAUAGCACAACAAUGCCAUCCACUUGUUAUAAUUAAUAUAACAUCAACAUAAAAUGAGAAAAUCAAUAUUUUAAAUGUUAGUAUGUGUCAUUUUGGACAUAAUAAAAUGCUACAUUAUUUUUCUAAUUAUUCAGACAUUGCCAUUUAUCUAGGUGUAGAAGUUUUAAAAUUUGGCAAAAUAAUUUGUAAAAUACAGCUACAAUCAAGAGUUCAGCAUUAAGCAUCAAUAUAGCUAGCAGAAAUGCAGAAUCCAGGGUAAAUGUUUGUAUUUGGCAACAUACCCCGUGGAACAGAUCAAACAGAUUACACAAAAGAAUCAGUUAAAAGUAUAGAGUAUCAACUACAUGUUUUUCGGUUGGCUGUGAAUUAUAGACCUUUUCUAUAAAAGUAGUAAUGCUUACCUAAAAAGGCCCAACCGCCCAACUAAAACAAGGGGCUUCAUAGUGUCAUAGAUCCCAAAGUACAUCCCUCGAUACAUGGUGUGAUUCCUAAUAUUGAAACCCCAAAUCCCCUGUACAAGCCAGCAAUUCCGUCAAUUGAUAAGGUUUUACGGUAAACAUCAACUACUCCUUUAAACUGGCGCUGAUCAGUAGCACGGCACUCCUGUGAAUCAGUAGCCAAUCGCGUACGUGCAUAGUCUAAAUGAUACAAAAGCAGUGAAGUAGUCGCUCCUGCAGCACUGCCUGAAGCCACAUUCCCAGCAAACCAUUUAAUUUGCCCGUCUUUCUUUUUGGACUAUCCAAAGAUGCUUUUGAAGUAACCUUUGAAUGCAAAAUUGAAAGCCUAUAGACCAAUUAACUCUUUGCUCAAACACUAUUUCUAAUACAUAAAAGAAAAUCAUUAUUUGAGAGCCAUGAUCACAUGAGUUGAUGGGAAUAGAAAGCAGUCAAAUUAAUGGUUUCUCUUCUAUAUGUAUGGGCCCCUAUUUUAUAUAAGCGCAGAUGCCCAACUAAUGAUAUUUCACAUGUGAUGACAGGAAAAACACAAAGCAUGUUCAGGGGGAAUAAUGUACAAAACUACAAAUUGGACAUGAUCACAUAUCAAAGAAUGUGAUUAUUUGUCAGGUACAUAUUAUAUCAUGCCAUAAAAUAACUAUGUAUAAGAAAAUGCGAUUAGUCUAGGCUCUGAGAUAAUAUACUUUUCAAUUUAAUAGUGAAUUAGGCAGACAAAAGGCUAGGAUGGAAGAGAAGUUAUCAAAUAUUCGUCUUACUUUAAUAUCUAAAAUCCAUGGAUGACAACAAAUAUAAAACCCAUGAACACAAGAAUUUACGGCUAUUAUGUGAUGUGAAUUUUUAUUUUUUAGUGAGCUGCACAAGAAAUAAUUACCUGAUACAUUUAAUGGUAUAUAACUACAUAUCAGCAUCCCACAUAACAUGUCAUGUUCAUUCUUUUGAUUUCUUUUCUUUUCUUCAAAGAUAAUGUGUAUGAUAUCUUGAAAGAAAGAGGAGAUUAAAAUGGUGUAUGUGGGGAUACAGUUCUUGAACAUUAAUCAGAAUGUCAGUAAAGUGAAUAACUCACCUGUGUGGGGAAAUACCUUAUAUCAUUGGCCCGGUUACCUCUCCAAAAAAGCAAUCAGACCCUCUUCCAGGAAAACCCUUUUAAAGCCAUUUGACACACCCAGGUAUGGUUUUUUGAGUCGUCCUCUUUUAAUCAAUUCAUUUUGGUUUUGCAAUAAAAGCUUGGCUCUCUCAAUUGGUGCCACUGCACUCUUUGAUAUGAUUGCUGCAACUCCUCCCAUGACAAAAUCCUUUGAAAAUCUUUCAUAUUGCGUAGAUGUUACCAUCUUUUUUGGACUCUUGUCUCUAAUCCUGGCAGAAGUAAUAGAAACUUGAUCAGCAAAAAAAAAGGGCAUGAAUACCUAUGAGAUGAAAUUACAAAUAGAUAAAAGUGACACUGGCGUUAAGCGAAAAAAGCAGGUCAACCUCUCAGACUCCUUUCAAACGAGAAAAAAGUGCAGGAAAGAAAAGAAAAACAGUGAAACUUGAAGAUCUCUAAGAAUGUGGUAGCAGAUUCAGUUCGGUUCAUAGCAAACAAAUUGCUAAAAAGGAGUGGCCACCUCAAGCAAACAUAAUGAUGUUGAAGUGAAAUUCCGAUGCAGCAGACACAACAACACAUACAACAGCAGUACCAUAAUCAAUCCAAAUCAGUAAUUCAAAAGGUAAAAGAAAAAUUGAAAGAUGGAUAGUGAACCCCUUCAUAGGUGAGAGGAAAACCAAGAGAAUUUGACAGCUUUGUGAAGAACCAUGACAUGGGAACAACCUUCCAAGGCCAGCCAACAAAUGAAACACUUCAAUGGCAUCUUGACAAUCUUCGAUGUCACAGAGGACACCAACUAGUUCAGCAUGAAAAAAGCAUGAUAUGUAAUCAUUCAAAACUCAGAGCCAGGAUUGACACCAAUCUUACUACAAAGUAAUUGAACAAAGACACUUCAAUGAAGCAUUUCAUCGAACAACUUAAGGGCAUCAUAAAAAUCAGAUUGUACAAAUGUAGAAAUGCAACACCACAAUUGUAGAAAAGAAACUAGACUCAGAUUAAAGUCUUAAAAUUCCAUGGAAACAAUCAACCACUGAAAUAAAAACAGUAUAGAAAAAUUGAACUUGUAAACUGUGUAAACAACUGAAUUGAAGAAAAACAAACCAAUUCAAGAAGGACGUAAGAAGAAGAGGCAAACAGCUUUGGCAUGCUGGUUGGAGAAGCGUCCACCACCGCACCACGUCGAUCUAGGUUGCGGUUGCCGCCGGCGAAGGGAAGAGCAUUUUUUUUUUCUUUUGAAACUAAAGGAAGAACGUGAAAGAGGAUUGUGGGUAUAUUUUUUAAUUUUAUAAAAAAGGAGGAGCACUAAGCUAUUAACUAAAUUAGCAGGGGUUGUUCUAGAAUUAAAUUAAAUAAUAAAAUAUAUAUUACGAAAAUAAAAUAUUAAAAGUGAUGUGGAUAAUAACGUGACACAUGUCACAAUAUAACUGGUACAACAAGGCCAUGGGUGAUAUAACCCAAAAUUGAGCAUGAGUUAUUUAGACAACCCAUUUGAAUAUCAUUUGCAUAUUGAUUGAGAACAAUUGAUUUGAGAUUAAUUAAUGAUACAUCAUGACAUACAUGAAAUCUAAAAAAUAUAACAAAUAUACUAAUAUAACAAAUUUACUAGACUUGAGACUUAAAGCAUCCUUCUUCAUGCUAUUGAUUGUCUUCAUCAAAAUCCUUUUUUCUUGGGCUAGAAAUACUUCUUCUUGCACCUCCUAUGAAAUUUCUACUACAUGACAUAUUCAAGGGAAUGGGUGGAUCUGAAAAAGCUCCCGUAGAUAUUAGAUCAAAUACAACUUUGUUAGCUGCCUCAGUGUAGUGGUACCCAUCCCAUAUCACUCUAGUGGAUGGUUUUUCACAAGAGCCCACAAAAAUUUUAUCACCAUCUACGGUUAUAGUUCCCCCGCAUACAACUCCAUCUAUAUAAUUGUAUUUUCCUCCAUAGCCACAACAAGUAACUAGUGGGUGCUCAAAUCCUGCACAUUAAUGAAUCUUUAAAUUAGUAACAUUCCUUUUAGGUAAGCUUGAUUAUUUCAAUGAGAAUUGAGGUCAAUUUGCUUUGGCUCACCAUAUUUCUUUGGAUUGCAAAAUAGAGAGUACUUAGCUGAGUAGAUAUCUACAUAUGCCAUUGAAACCAAAAGGUCCUCAUGAAGUUUAGCUAAUGCUUCCUUCAAUUCUUUGUUGAAAUAUUGUGCUACUUCAUUAUAUUGCUUUGCACAACCAGAACUAUCUCUUUCGGCAGAUGGAAAUUUAGUCAAUAUGCCAGGGAGGCACCCGAUUGGUCCUGUGUUGUGUAUCCAAAACGAUCUAGCCCCCAAAUCAUAUAUGUUCUUGAUCACCAAGUUUCAUUCAUUUAAAACAAGAAAUUAAGAAAUUGAGAACUAAUAUGAAAGUGGCGUUCCAUGAAAGAACUAAUUUGAUUAUUGACUCACGACUAUAUCAAAAGAGUGUUUAGCUACCUUAAUAUUCGCUACGAAAUUGUCGACCAUAUCAUGUAUAGAAUCACUGACUUGUUGUAUAGUCGUGUUACCAGAAAAGGCAUCAAUAAGAUCAUUUUGACCAAUAUCAAAUGUGUAUAAAGCUCUAGAAAAAUACUCUUCUUUGGGCAUCAACGUUGAAAACAUGCCACCUAACCGACAAACAUUUGAAGAAAAACAUGCAAAACACAUUGUUGUUAAUUGAACUCAAAAUAACCAAAUUAUAUCAAUGAAAAUAAUUUCUAGACUGACCUUGAUCUUUUAUGAAUUGUGAUCUUGCUUUAAACUCUUUGAAUUGAAGGUACUGAACUCCUAAGAAGAAAGGACUACCUCGAGGUUUAACACUCUUAGGGAGUAUAAUUGUUGAUCCUAAUGUUGCAAAGUUUGCACCAUGAGAGAAGUUUGAUCCCAGAGAGUCAAGAUACGCACUAAGAUAUGUAAGUCCAAAACUUUGUGCUGAAAUUACAAAGAUGUGAAUGAAAAUUAAACUUAAAACCUUUCACUUUACAAUGAUGAAUGAUCUAAAUGAUUAUUAAAUUUCGACAUGUUAGUAAGUGAUUGAAGGAUAAUUUUAUUUUUUCCCGAACCACUGUUGAAAUUGCAAAGUAAUGAAUCAAAGUUAGACUUAAUAUUUAAAGGUGUUAUUUAUAUAUAAAGAUUCAAGUAAAAAGUGUGUGACCGAGAUAUGCUUGGCUCAGUUAUUAAAGACAAAUCACUUCACCUCAAAAAAAUUGUGUGUUUGAUUGUGUGUUUAAUGAACAAUCUGCAAGUGACAUAUAAUCCUGGAGGCAUAUCAUGAACUAUAGUAGUCACUAUAACCAAACCGACCAAAACGUUUGCUCUUCAUUGAAAAGAGUAAAAUAUGUGUGUAAUUCCUAAUAGUUUUGUAAUAAAUACUAUUUUUCCAUAUAUGCAUCUAGAAUCAUGCUUUUUAUACUUAAGGUAAGUAAAACAUUCCCACAAGAAAUAGAACUACGUUACCUAUGAAAUCAAUGAUGAUUCGGCCAUCAGAGUACCUUCCAGCGGGUCUGUGAAAAUAAGUGUCUCCAUGUGGUGGUUUUGGUCCUUCAAAGGCAGCAGCGUAGCCUCCAGUAUCUGAGUUUGAGGCACCAAAAUUGAAGAUGGCUGGAAAAUCACAACCGCCGCCAUAUACAGGGUUCAGUAGUGUAGUUGACGUAGCAGUGAAAACAAAAACAAAAAGAGAUAUUUGAGUGAUGAAAAACUCCAUUACAGAGAUGAGUUCAUUCAGCAAAACACAAAGGAACCAUAAAAUUGAUAUAUAUGCUUGACACAUAUAGAAGCUCACUUUUCUGAACUUGAAUUAUUGGACACUAAAUCAAUAAUAGAAUAACAAGAGUGACUUUAUAAAAAGUACAAGUAAUCCCCCACAAGGUAAGGCGUAUCAUUUAAUUUUGUAGAUCCUUUAAUAUAAUAUUUCACGUGUGUCAUGUGUAGAACAUUGUUAAUUGGUAAUUGGUAUAGUGCUCUUGAAAUAGUUAGGAUUUAUUUUUUGGACAGAGAAGAGUAGACUUUCAAACAGAAUUUUUGCGAGUUCUCCUUAAUUAUUGUGAAAUAUAAUGGAAUGUCCAAUUUAAUUUUUUUUAGAUAAGCAAUGAUUUUAUUACGCACAAGGGGUGCCACCAAAAAACAAGUCAAAACAGAUCAUUGAAUUUAAUUGAGUGAGGAGAUCAAGAUCUUUGCUGCGAUAAGAAAGAAAGGGCCGGAAAGCUACUUCGAAUAUUGAAUUAUUGAUGUGCGUUAACAUAGCAUAAAUUGUACUUUGUUUUUAUUAUGGUUUUAUCUAGGCCUAAUUGUUGUAUUUGCUAUACAAAAUUCACAUGUUUUUAAGUGUAUUCGCAAUAUGUAGGUAGAAAGAGGGGAAAAAGAGAAAAUAGUGAAAAGUUGCUCUUUUAGUGGAAUUUUACAUGCUAACGUAGAGGCAUGAUCGUGCUUGCCAAAUACUACAACCAUGCUCUUGAAAAUGAAGCUCCACAACCAUGCACUCCUCUUUUUGCCCAUGCUAAGUAUUAAAGUUAGCUUGCUAAGUUGCACAACAGAAGCCUCGUGAAAACCUAAUUAUUUCCUACUUAAAGAGAGGCUAGGGCAUUUGUAAGAUGGUGGAACUUUAGAGUAUUGUUUUGUAUGCAGGCUAGGAGGGAGGGAGGGAGGGAGAGAGAGAGAGAGAGAGAGACUUAAUGACGCAAGGCUAUGAAACUCCACCUACUAACAUUUUUGCCGGUAUGAGAGGAAGGGAAAGUACACUUCCCAAGGACAGGGUUGGUCAAACAGGUGCUAUUAGUGGCGUUAGGUUUUCAGGCGUCACUCUGACAAUAUUUAUUUGAUUCGACGUCAGUUGCAUGCUUACGCAUGGAUGCUCAUACCCAACCACUUCAGAGAGAGAGAGAGAGAGAGAGACUUAAUGGCGCAAGGCUAUGAGACUCCACCUACUAACAUUUUUGCCGGUCUGAGAGGAAGGGAAAAUACCCUCCCCAAGUAUAGGGUUGGUCAAACAGGCGUGCAUUAGUGGCGUUAGGUUUUCAGGCGUCACUCCGACACAUUUUUAUUUGAUUCCGACGUAAGUUUGCAUGGCUUACGGCAUGAGAUGCUCAUCCCCCAACUACUUCAGAAGAGAGAGACUUAAUGGCGCAAGGCUAUGAGACUCCAUCUACUAACAUUUUUGUCCGGUCUGAGAGGAAGUGAAAAUACACUUCCCAAGGAUAGGGUUGGUCAAAUAGGUGUCAUUAGUGGCGUUAGGUUUUCAGGCGUCACUCCGACAAUAUUUAUUUGAUUCGACGUAAGAUGCAUGCUUACGCAUGGAUGCUCAUCCCCAACCACUUCACAGAGAGAGACUUAAUGGCGCAAGCUAUGAGAUUCCACCUACUAACAUUUUUGCCGGUCUGAGAGGAAAGGAAAAUACACUUCCCAAGGACAAGGUUGAUCAAACAGGUGUCAUUAGUGGCGUUAGGUUUUCAGGCGUCACUCCGACAAUAUUUAUUUGAUUCGACGUAAGCUCCAUGCUUACGCAUGGAUGCUCAUCCUCAACCACUUCAGAGAGAGAAAGAGACUUAAUGGCGCAAGGCUAUGGGACUCCACCUACUAACAUUUUUCCCGGUCUGAGAGGAAAGGAAAAUACACUUCCCAGGGACAAGGUUGGUCAAACAGGUGCCAUUAGUGGCGUUAGGUUUUCAGGUGUCACUCCGACCAUAUUUAUUUGAUUCGACGUAAGCUGCAUGCUUACGCAUGGAUGCUCAUCCCCAACCACUUCAGAAAGAGAGAGAAAAAAAAAACGUGACUGGCUCGAAGGAAAAUAAGGGAGAGUAAACUUAGAAGAUUAUUUCAGGUUUAUGUAUGGUAUUAUUAGGUUCAUUAUGUUUUCUAUUAGAAUUAGUUAUUCCAUCACCUUGAAAUCUGUAAGAUAAUAAGAUAAUGUAAAUUUUCUCACUUGAAUCAACACAUCUUCUGCUAUCUCUUUUGAGUGAACGAUUGACUUGUCAGUAAGCUCAAGUGAAAUGUUAAUGGCUCUUAACCUAACUAUUCUUAAUCUCUAUAAAACCGAUCGAAUAAGGCAUUAAAUCCACACUUGACCCCAAAUCAAUGAAACACUUUCAGAGUAUAUAUUUCCCACAUUUCAAGGAUUGGUGAAUUGACUGAAUUCCCCUGAAUCUUUAAGCUUAGAUGGUAAUCUAGUUGAUCUUUAUUGGGUUCUCCAUUUUGAUUUUCUUCAAUAGCUUUAGUAUUAUGUUGUAUUCAGCAUUAUACUCAUUAUCAUGAAUAAGAAUACUUAUAGUAGCCAAUGCAGAUUGGCCUUUACCUUCUUCUUCAAGCUCUUGGGAACUCCCUUUAGUGCGAAUUCCUACGAUCAAUACAGAGGCAAAACUUGAUUGUGCUUCUUCAGCUUUAAGUGCAUCCUCUUUUGUAAGUCCAACAAGUGUGAUAGUCUUAGCUUCCUCCCUUGAGUUGGGCUCUGUUUGUGAAGGAAGUGUGUCUUGUGUCCUUGGAGUUGGGCUCUGUUUGCGAAGGAAGUGUGUCUUCUAUGUAGUGAUGCAUCCUUCCGGCAAGGAGGACAAUCAAGCCGACACCUUAUCCGUAAGGGAGAGAAUGGAAACAACCUCAAACGAAUAGUGUCAGUAGGAACAUGGUUGUACUUAAUGUACCUAUGAUUUUGAUCCCAAUAUAUCUUUAUUAAAUUUAAUCCCUCAAAAUUUUCAAUAAUUAUAAUUAAAUCCAUCGACUAGUUUUAUACCUAAAUAUCUCAAAUUCUCAUUUUUCUUUGCGAAUCUUUACUAAUAAGUAAGUUUAAAUCACUUUAAACAUUCAUUCGAUAAAAACACAUCAGUACAACAGUACUGAUAUAUCCAUAGAGUUAAUUCACUCUGAUUUUAAGUUAAUCAAAUUUAUUUAAGUGAAAAGUAUAGAGUGAAUUAGUAUUGAGCUUGGCGCGCGGUCAAAGGGAUUUUACCCCUGCGGAAGCUUCUUCAUGCGCGGGGUGUUGAUGUUGAGGAGGUGUGUCCACUUUGCCAUGAUGAGGAGGAGUCUAUCAACCACAUUUUGGUCUCAUGCCCGGUGGUGAGUCGUUGGUGGUUCGCUCUCAUGGGUUCUUUACGUGUUGAGGCGUAUGGCUCGGUGCAAGGUAUUUUGCAGUAUUGUUUUGAUAUUAAUGAUGUAGAUAUGGCUUCAAGGUGUGUGAAUUUUGUGUGGGCUAUAUGGGAAGCUCGCAACAGGUUGGUGUUUCAAGGCAUUACGUCUUCGUUGGACGUCUUGGCUUCUCGGUUGCAGAUGAUUCAUGCGCCCCCUAGCGUCUCCAUUUCUCCUCCAGGACGUGACUUUGCAGCAGUGUGGAAAAGGCCUCAACCGAACGUGACCAAGCUCAAUUUUGAUGGCUCUUGGAAGACUAAUCGUGCGGCGGACUUCGGUUGUGUAGCGCGGAACCACCACGGUGAGGUUAUGGCGGCAGCAACGGUCUCUCCGGUGGAUGCUUCAUCUCCAUUGAUGGCUGAAGUUCUUGCUUUUAGAUGGUGUCUCUCUCUUGCAGCUGAUCUUUUCUUCCAUGAUAUAGAGGUGGAAACAGAUUGUCUCAAACUCUAUGAAGCUUGGAACAAGCAUUUGCAGGGAGCUUCUUAUUUUAUUUCUAUUCUUAAAGAUUGUAAGGAUUUGGUUUUAUAUUUUUCUAGUUUUCGUUUGUCUUUUGUCGUCGAUCCGGUAACUCUGUAGCUGAUUACUUUGCUAAGAACUCCUCAAGGUAUCCCAACUGCGUUUGGAUUGAGAAGGUUCCCCCAGAUUGUUUCGGUUUGGUCGCGUCUGAUGUAACUACCUCUAUGACCUCUUGAUUUUAAUAUAUGUUCUACGUUAAAAAAAAAGUUAGCAAAAAUCAUAUAGUCUUAAUUAAUAAACAUUUUCUAUGUUUUGAUUCUAUUAUCUAUAGCAGGGCCCUUACAUAUUUGUUAUGAUCAAAUGAGAAAGUCGCAUUUAUUCCACACUAGUAUAUGAGGAGGUGAUUCAUUUUUUAUAGAUAACCGACACACCAUUACUCUUGUUUACCUAGGUCCUAACCAAAGCACAUGCAGUCGCAUGAUAAGUCCAAAAACACUAAUCAUUCUAUAGCUUAUAUAAAAUGAGUUGUAUUUAUCCUCCACUUUAUUCAGAGAAUGAGUUCACAUGAUAAAAAUAGAAUCAUAUUAUGUGCCCCCAAUUACAUUCUCUUUUUGUUCCUCUAAUCCUCUGAGUAUUAAAUCUGUCACGCACCCUUUGGAUCCUCAGUAAACUAUCUCACGGUCCAACUGACCCCAUAUUUCUGGUUCAUGAUAUUCUAAUAUCAAUGAAAUUUUCAUGUGAAUUUGUUACCAUUUUCAAAUUUUAUUUAUUUGUCACUUGUAUAAAGUAUUAAUUAAAUUUUAUUGAUAAUAACGGGAUAUAAUUCUUAAUGAUAAUAGGAAAAUUGAGUAGUCAAAAUCUAAAAAAAUAAAGAUAUAUCAAUAAGUCAAAUAGCAAUAUUAAUAAAAAUGUAAAAAAAAAUUAUUAAUACAAAUGAGAAUAUUAUCACCGUUAAUUUUUUAUUUCAUCUUAUUUAUUCUUUUUUUUUCUUAUCACAACAUCCAUCACAUAUUAUAUGAUUUCUCUAAAAUUUUUCCUUGUUUGAAUGAAGGGAAAACUCGGGGCCCCACAUAAAUUAAUCUCUUGUUCUUGGUUCGAACACUCAAAGAAGGGGUAGCCCCUAAAGAGUAGAGAUAUUGCACUAGAAAGAUAGAAGAUAACUGAAUUUCAUAUGUAUGAAUUGAUCAAAUGCGUCAAAAGUCUUUUACAAUUGGUAAGUGUCCUCUACUUAUAGGGUGGGAAGUGAGCUUCCCGCGCUACUGCCUCUAAUGGGCCUAUUGGGCCUCGCCUUGGCCAGCGAGACCCAACUACGGAUUGUGCGCCCGCCCCUUAGCGAGAGUCCCUCUGGGCGUAGCCCCUUACUCCCAGUCCAUCUCUCCUCUCCAUUAUCCUUGCGAACCAAACACGAAAGAUUCUAUAAUCCUUUCCUUUUCUCUUCCUUCCUUUAUCUUCCCCCAAAACAAACAUAAUGCAAGUCUCAGUGAAUUUUGGGUGAUUAAAGACAAAAAGACAUUAUUUCCCCUAAACAAACAUGGUACUAUAACCAAACAAUAGAUAGUGGGUCAUAUUCCAGAAAUUGAAUGAGUUGAAACGCAUGUGUGUAUAGAUGCAUUUGUCAGACACUGACAGCUCUUUGCGUAUCCAUCAUGCAUGAGAACCUCAAACCUGCCGUCAAUUACAACCUUCACCCAUUUUUCUGUGAUCCUUGCUUUUCUUCAGCUCUAUCCAACCUCACAGACAAUGACACCACCCCUUUAAUAUUCAUCCUAAUUUCUACUAUAUAUUAUUAUUCAAUAUUAUUAUUGUCUGCAAACCUAUAUAUUAUUAUUCAAUAUUCAUGACCCUUUUCUGAAAUUUGCAUAAAAAAUGUCCAUGAUUGUUGAUUUCUCCUAAAGUUAAGAUUUUGAUGUUGGAUUCUUCGCUGUGCCACUACCAAACCAGAUAAUCACAAAGGGUAUAGUUCUAUGAUUGGAAAAAAUCAAAAAAAUACAAACUAUUUUUUUUAUUUUGUUGUUUUUGUUAUGCAUUUAAAUUUUGCUAAUUUUGAUUAAUUCUUUCUAAAAAUUGAAUCUUUUUGUCAUUUUAGGAUUGCCCAUGAUUUAGAAUUGCUUGUUAAGAGAAAAAAUCAAAUUGGGUACGAACAAAAUUUCUUGUGUGGAAUUUUGGUGAGUGAUGCAGAGUGAAGAAGGUGGUUGUGGAAAUGGCGAAUCUGGUUCCUGGUGUGCUUCUGAAGCUGUUACAGCACAUGAAUACAGAUGUGAAGGUUGGAGGGGAGCAUAGAUCAUCACUGUUGCAAGUUGUGAGCAUUGUUCCUGCGCUUGCAGGUGGAGAAUUGUUUCCGAAUCAAGGGUUUUAUCUGAAGGUUUCAGAUUCGUCUCAUGCUACGUAUGUUUCUCUGCCUGAUGAAGAUGAUGAUCUUAUUUUGAGUGAUAAGAUUCAGCUGGGGCAGUUUGUGUUUGUGGAUCGCGUCGAGGCGGCUUCGCCGGUUCCGAUUUUGAGAGGGGUUAGGCCUGUUCCGGGGAGGCAUCCUUGUGUAGGAACACCUGAAGAUAUUGUUGCCACUCAUCCACUUGCAUUUCUGAAUAAUGGCGGUGGUUCUUCUGGGGAGAAGGCGAAGGAGAAGGAGAAGGAGAGGAGCGCGAGAUCAAAUGGGGUUGGUAGUGGUGGUGGUGGUGGUGGUGGUAUGGGAGAAGGAUCAGAGAAGAAGAGUGGUCUUCUUGGUAGGUUUAAAUCACAGGCUCAGCCAACAAAGCCAGCAGCACUGAAGAUUGAUGUGAAGAAGGAACCGUUGCCUCGGAUGAAGUCUAUGAAUUCAAGGUCGAUUCCUUCGUCGCCGAGUAGUUGCUACUCGUUGCCGACUUCUUUUGAGAAAUUUGCCAAUGGGGUGAAGCAGCAGCAGGCAAAGGUUAGUGGUAAGAGGGUGGAGAAGGUCACUGCAAAUGUGGGAGUGGUGGAGACAGGAAAAGGUGGUUCUUCUGGGAAGAAAAUGGUGGUGGGGAAUCCAAUCAGAAAUUGGAUGCAGGGUAUUGACCUUGGGGCUAAGGUUCUGCGGAAGAGCUGGGAAGGGAAUAUGGAGGUCAAGACUAGAGAGUCUCCCAGAGCUAGGGGUGCUGCCAAGGUUGAUCCUAAGCCUGAAGUUCGUAGCUCGGUGAGUGUGAUAUAAUUUCAUCUUCAUUCUUUUGGUUUUAGUGCAUGUUUGGAGAUCUUUUUUACAUUUGAUUUUAGAGCCAUAAUCAAUUAUAGGGACAAGCUUAUGUGAGUAAUUUCUGGAGACAUGAAGUGAUUUUGAUAAAAGAGAACCUGAUUCAAACAUGUUAUUAGUUGCAGCUCCUGAUGUCAAACACUAAGCCUUGUAGGAUAUAUUGCAUCUUUGUUUUGUUCUUUUUUUCUGUCCCUUUCAAAUUUCAUGUGGAAUAUGUGCUAUGUAGUAUAGUUGGUGUUUGUGAUACCUGGAUUUCAUUUCCUUUGACUUUUGAUUCAAUCAAGCCAUUAUCUUCCUUACGUUUUAUGAUCUACCAGACUCCUAGGAGAAGCUUCUCGAAUGGGAAGUUGCCAUCUAAAGAAGUCCAAGCACCAACAAAGUCUUCCAAGGACGAACAUAAGACUCAGAUGUCUAUAAAGAAGGCUACUGCUAAUGGAACUUUGGAGGAACAAGAAAAGUCAAGUAAACAAAGAACUUCCAUUGGAAAGAAAUCAGCAGAAGUUGCUAACCACGGACUCCCCGGAAACUUGGUCAAAGUUUCUCUCAAUAGUAGAAAAGUGACAGAUGCAAGUGUUCAAUGGGCUUCACUCCCCUCAUCUAUUUCAAAGAUUGGAAGGGUAUAUUCAUUGAAAAAUCCUUGGCUUUUUACACUUAAUUUCUUUGAUUCUUGGCUGUCAAUUGUCUAAGCAUUCAUGAAUACAAAUAUAAUAAGUAUGCUGCAAGUAUAAUAGUUUUGGAUAUAUGCAUGGAUUACACUUUGAUGAACAUUCUGUGUCCUUGUUCGAGUACAAGCCCUUCAACCAAUUGAUGCAUUGUUCAGAAAAUUAUAUAUGGCUUACUGAAUCUUUCUGUUCAAAUUAUAAAUUUUGUAACUGUAUUGUUUCAUUCUUAUUCCAUGGUCACCUUUGUGACAGGAAGUUAUGAGGCACAGAGAUGCGGCACAGAUAGCAGCAAAUGAGGCUAUGCAAGAGGCUGCCGCCGCUGAGAGUUUGCUGCAAUGUCUAAGGUAUGAAAAUAUUCAGGAGAUUAACUUCAUGCAACUAAGUAUAGAUUAUUCUUCUGGACUGCUCGAUUUGUUAGAUCAGGUCUUAGUUCUUAGUGUUACUCCACACUGCCGAGAUUAACUGUGUAUACAUGAAAACCUAGAUAUAUUGCUGAUAGUUGUACUUCUGAGUGAGUUCUCCAUCUACUGAAGCACAACACUUCUAGAGGAUAGGGAAAACAUUUCUAUACUCGGUUCAGUUAAGAUGUAAAUCAAUAAAUCAUUCUCAAUCAAAAAAAUAUUCUUGCUACUUUACUAUUAUCUAUCACUUUUACGAUAUUCUAUGUAAUCAUCAGAUGAUACAGAUAAGAAUGUAGAAACUGAGGCAUUUGCAGGAAUCCUGAACUUCAUUACUUAUUAGCAAUGUUAUAUACAGGUUUUCUUCACCAUUUUGUCCUAUUUGAAGCUAUUUUCCCUAUUUCAUUACCGGUCAUGUAUUUAUUAGUAAUAGUCUGUUUUAUCAUUCCUUGGGUAUCUCUUGUCAACAGUUGGAUAGAUUGUCAUUAUAAAUUCCUGCCCCUGUAUUUCUGAUGUUUUUUUUAUACUCAUACCUGAUGAAAGUUAUAUUUGCAUUUUCAUUUAUGUGCUUGGAACUGAUAUAGCAUCUUGCAAAUCCACUGGCCAUACUCAUUGUUCUUGAGUACAUGUAGUUCAUCCAAACUAAGUAGGCUUGGAACGGCACCUGCAUGACAAAUCCUGGAUCUUUGUACUUAUUUUGAUUAAAAUAUUUCCUCCAUUGUUCUUUGUGUUGAGAUUUAAGAAGUCGACUGAAGUCCUAGGGCUACGUUGACUAGAGAUAUGGCCAAAUAAGUCAUUGUAUAGAGCAAUCCUCACCCAUGAACUAGCUUUAGGGAUAGAGUUAAGCCUAACCUGAAUUAUAUGAUGGUGUCAUAGCUUAUCUUAGAUUCGUUUGUUGGAGACUACCCAUAAUUUCACAAUACUACUGAAAAUCAUUGUAGCUUAUGCCAUGGUAAGAUGCUGAUUGUACAGCAGAAUUUUGAAUUUCCGGUUUAACCGUCAAUGCAGUUAACCCAUUUCAAUAGACUAUUCUAUUAUGUGGAAAUGUUGUAAUUCAAUGCCACAUACCAAGUUGUACUUGUUGCUAACACUUUUUUGUGAUGUUUCUGGCAGUAAGUAUUCGGAGUUAACAAAUUCUGCGAAGGAAGAGAACCCCCAGCCAGCAGUAGAGCAGUUUUUAACUCUUCAUGCUAGCCUAAACAGUACCCUGAUGAUUGCUGAAUCAUUAUCUAAACCCAUUCCAGAUGGUUCAUCUCCAGAUUAUGAAAGGAGCAAAUUGGAAGAAGCACUGAAACUAAAAUCAGAAAGACAAAAACACGCAUCUUCAUGGGUCCAAGCAGCAUUGGCCACGAAUCUUUCAUCCUUCGCUGUUUUCACAAGAGAACCUCAAUCAUCCAAGCUUCCAGCUUCAAGUAAUUCUCAAAAUCAGAAGACUCUCAUGGGAAAUCAGCCCAUGUUAGUACUACACAAUUCUUCAAGUGAAGAUUCUUCAUCAAAAGUUCCUGGGAAAACUCGUCAACCACUUUAUUCCAAGCACGCCUCACAAGGAGCUACUCGCAAACCUGGUGAUGGGUCAGCAAACAGGCACAAGCAGCUAGUCCAACCACCGCUCCCGGAGUGGGUUAGGGGAAAUGGCCUCGAUGAGGUGGUUAAUUUGGCUGAAAUGUUGCAAUUACAGUCCCGAGACUGGUUCGUAGGAUUCGUUGAGAGGUUCUUGGACAUUGACGGGGACAAUACCUUGUCAGAUAAUGGCCAAAUUGCAGGUAUGCUCUCUCAGCUGAAGAGUGUAAAUGAUUGGUUAGAUGAGAUAGGGUCGAGCAGGGACGAGGAAGACGAGGGAGAAUCAUGCCAGAUUCCAGCAGAGACGAUUGACCGACUAAGGAAGAAGAUAUACGAAUAUCUUCUUACUCAUGUUGAGUCUGCUGCUGCUGCACUCAGUGGUGGACCACAAUCAUCAUCAACUCCGAUCCAAACAACACAGAUUAAAGGCAAAAGGUGAAUGAAUGAGUACAUAGCUUAGCUUAACAAUUGCAUAAGUAGGGUAGAGUGGGACUAACCUUGGUCACUCAAAGUUGUCCAAAAAUCAAGAUCCCCUCAAAAAGAUCAUUUUUUCCCUCUUUCUAAUCUGUUUGUACAUAAAUCCUACAUGGGGUUUGAGGUAUAGAUGGUGGAGUGCUAAUUAUUUAUUAGAGGGACAAUGGAGAUAGCAAAUGUGAUUUGUGAAGAUAUUUUCUUUCUUUGAUUUUUCUUGAUAUUGUUCAAAUGAAAUCAUACAAAUUAAAACAGUGGAAGAUAUCAGUAGAAACUUUUCCAAUCCUUGCCUUGAAUGUGGUUCUUUUAUGGCAUCAUUGUUCUUGUGAGUAUCAAUCGCAAACAGUAUCUAACUGGUGGGGUGCAUUAGGACAAUUGACAAAUGAACUACUUAAAUCUGAAUAGGAAUAGUUUCUACUGUGUUUCUCAAAUCAUGUGUGCAGUAUUUUAUAUGUAAAGUUGAGGAAAUAAAUCCUAAGCCAAAUCUUAAAUCAAUUCAACAUCUCAUCUUGCAUUUUUGUGGUUAUUUCACUUGAUAUCAAAGCUUAGACUCUUUUGAAAAGAAAAAAAAAAGCUUAGACUCUGGAUUAAGCACCUUGACGAGUACCAAAGAGUAUAUCCAUAAAAAUAUGGUUGAAGCUUAGCUCAAGAAACUCCAACAACAUCUAUCUAUCUUGUUGAAGGUCACUUAGUGAUACGUCCUUGAACCUUCAAUGAAGAAUUUUAAUAGACAAGAUGAUGCUCUUUAUUGAGUCCACACACGUUGAUAUAUGUUACAUCAUAUAGUCUACGAUUUGUGUGCAUAUUGAAUUAUUGAUGAUAGCAAUAAUCCUAAUAUGAUAUGAUAGAAAAAAUAAAUUGCGAUAAAAAAGAAGAAAAAAAAGUAUAGUGUGAAUAUAUUAAAACUCAUACCACUUGUAAGUGAAAUCAAAGAAAUUAAGAGGUAGGUGGUGCAAGAUGUUUGCCUCUUGCCAGAUACUCAAAGACAACAAUCACACAUCAUCAUUGUCACCCACCAUACAGAUGAUCUCCCUUUCACACUGACAACCUAACUUGGCCAACUCCACUUAAAAUAUCAACUGAUAUAAAAUCUGAAUCAAAAUUAUUACGUAGGCUCACAAAAAUUUAGCUUAUUCCUUAUAUAUAUAUAGUUGAAGUGGUAAGGGUUGUGAACAUAUAGAUCGAGAGAAAGGUUCAUGGAUCAAUCAUUGAAAAAGUAAUUUAUCUUUCUGAUGUACAAAAUAUAAAAAUUAUGCUCAUUAUAUCUUUCACUAAUAAGUUUGUUUCAAAAAAAUUGUGCGAUUUUGAUCUCACUAUUUUAAAACGAGCAGUUUGCAUCCUCAAAUUUGUAUCACCAUCAAUUUUAGACCAUCCAUAUAAUUUCUAACAGAAGCAAGUGACAUAGCGUUAACUAAAUAAGGUGGCAUGCAUAAUGUAUUUCCAAGUAAUUAUAUAAACGAAAAAUCCUGUUUUGAAAUAGUGGUUAAGUGGGGUUUACCGGACAAGUUGGGACGAGCUGUACUCGUCUUUCACUAACCCUAAAUAUUGAUCGAAUCCAAUUAUUAAACAUUUGAACUUAACCACUUAAACAA
Molecule: long non-coding RNA, 56552 nt
Filed under: Lotus japonicus
Lineage: Eukaryota; Viridiplantae; Streptophyta; Magnoliopsida; Fabales; Fabaceae
Description: long non-coding RNA (LJAP_LNC001509)
Source: RNAcentral